GUCUUGCAGGGCGCCAAGCAGCUUCCGGCCUCUGCUGAGGCGGCGGCCGAGAAGCGGCGAGGGGAGAAGGCCGAGGAAGGGCUGAGGACGGUGAUGUACCUCAGCUGCUGGGGUCCCAAUUAGAAGCUGCAACUUGGUACUAGCUAGGCGUGUGUGUGUUUGCUGCAACAACCAUGGCCUGGAACCACGAUGUAAAAACUUGGUACUAGCUGGCUUCCCGAGGAAUCCCCCAUUGUAAAAACCCCGAUGAUGAUGAUGACAAAUUUCUGUUACUUCAGUUCAUAUCACUCUCCUUAUCUGUUUGCCUUUUUGUUAUCUUGAUGAGAAAUAUGAAUAGAUGCUUUACUUUAGUUUCAGCUAUUCCCUUGUCUUUGAACCCGGCCUUUUGGUCGUAUGUCAUUACAACUUACAAGGACUUCAUUUUUUUACCUGAGUUCAUAGCAAACAUGCUGUAUCUCUUCAGUCUGCAGCACACGUGAAGGUGUCCUCUGCAGGUGUUGAAAAGAGACACAUGAUAAAUUCCCAUAUCUGAAGCAACCUCACACGGCCCCUGGUAUGGUGGAAACCAUGUCUUCCAGCGUGUGGGUCACCCCCAUCUAAUCUUAUCUUAUCACUCUGCCUUGUCUGGUUGUAACAGACAAAACCAUGGCCCACUGUUUUUUCGAUAAAGGAUGAAUUUUAUUGGCUCAAAAUGAAGCAUCAAGAGAAUAUAAACAUAAUGAGAGUCUGUUGAACCUACUAGCUAGGCGUGUUGGGGUCCCAAUUAGCAGUGCACCUUGCUACUACUAGCUAGGCGUGUUUGUGUUUGCUGAAACAACCAUGGCCUGAAACCGCGAUGUAAAAGCUUGGUACUAGCUGGCUUCCCGUGGAAUCCCCCAUUAUAAAAACCACGAUGAUGAUGAUGACAAAUUUCUGUUACUUCAGUUCAUAUUACUCUCCUUAUCUGUAUUUUUUUAUAUCUUAAUGAGGAAUAUGCAUUGAUGCUUUAAUUUGGUUUCAGUUUACAGCUAUUCCGUUAUCUAUGAACCCGGCCUUUUGGUCGUAUGGCAUUACAACAUACAAGAGCGACGAGUUCGUAGCAAACCUGCUGAAUUUCUUCAGCCUGCAGCACACAUGAAGGUGUCAUCUGCAGAUGUUGAAGUGACACACAUGGUAAAUUCCCAUAUCUGUACUGAAGGUCUCAUCAAGCAAUCCAUUUACAUUCGGUUUUGCUCCUUGACCUGCCUCCAGUUGCUUAGUUCGUCCACAUUAAAUAGUGUUAGAAGGGAGAGAGGGAUUUGGUGGAAUAGUUGAUUUAUUGCUUGAGCCUCGUGGGCAUAUAUAUAUAGGAGUACAAUGAUCUACUUGGAGUAUAAGACAAGCCAGAACAAAUCCUAGUCUAUCUCGUCUUUCCUAAUAAAUAUUAUACUCAACAUUCCCCUGCAGUCACAACGAUAGCGACGCAGACGGUGAGACUGGAGAAGAAUCCGAAGGCAAGCCGACGGACACCCCUCCCCCCCAGUCGUAACGGUCGACGCAUCGCGGAGUCAUGGCUGGAGUGGAAACCGACGAGGUUGCUCAAGCAGGCGGUAGCCCUUUGUGCCGUUUGUCGAUGUAGCCGAGAGCGUGGGUGGUGGAGCCGUGGUCGAGGUAGCCGUGCGAAGAAUGCCGUGGUCGAUAUCGAGUCGGGGUAGCCGGUGUCGAGGAAGUCAUCGUGGAGCCGCGGGCGCAAGGGGGCGCCGAGUUAGCAUGGGCGCAGUGGUGUCGAAGUAGGGGUGCGCCGGGAAGAAAAUGUUGUUGACGACGCGUCGCGGCGGGUUUGCCAAGCCCGGGGACACAUUGUGGACGAAGGCACGCACCGGUGUUGCCAGCACCGGACAUGCGUAGACGGAUGAAGACGAAGUUGACGAAGCGCCGACCAGGCAUGCCAGGCCCGGGGACACGUCGUGGAUGAAGGCACGCAUCGGUGUUGCCAGCACUGGGCAUGCGUAGACAAGGGACAUGUACGAGCUGUACGCCAUGUCGGAGAAGUCGGAGGGGCCAGCAGAGAAGAACUCGACGACGAUUGCGGCGUCCAUCGGCGCGGGGCCGAUUUCACCAACGGUGGUCGGAGUAGACGAAGUGGUCGGGGUAGAUGACAGCGACACUGGCGACGGGCUGGUGCUUGGACGAAGACGAAGGGGGUGGACGGUGUGACGCCCUCGAUUCAAUUGUACACUAAUCAUACAUGCAAAUGUGUACGAUCAAGAUCAAGGACUCACGAGAAGAUAUCACAACACAACUCUAGACACAAAUUAAAAUAAUACAAGCUUUAUAUUACAAGCCAUGGGCCUCGAGGGCUCGAAUACAUAAGCUCGAAUACACAAGAGUCAGUGGAAGCAACAAUAUCUGAGUACAGACAUGAGUUAAACAAGAUUGCCUUAAGAAGGCUAGCACAAAAGUAGCAACGAUCGAAAAGGCAAGGCCUCCUGCCUGGGAGCCUCCUAACUACUCCUGGUCGUCAGCGGUCUCCACGUAGUAGUAGGCAUCGACGGUGGCAUCUGGCUCCUGGGCUCCGACAUCUGGUUGCAUCAACCGAAAAGAAGAAGAAAGGGGGAAAAGGGGGAGCAAAGCAACCGUGAGUACUCAUCCAAAGUACUCGCAAGCAAGGAUCUACACUACAUAUGCAACAUUAUCAAAGGAAGGCUGUAUAUGUGGACUGGGCUGCAGAAAUGCCAGAAUAGAGGGGAGAACCUAGUCCUAUCAAGGACUAGCAUCUUCUGGAAACCACCAUCUUGCAGCAACAGGAGGGAAUAGAGUAGCAUAAAGUAAUGUAGUAGAAGUGUUAUCAACCUCGGCCAGAGAUCCCUUCUCGACUCCCUGCGAGAAAGCAAUCCCAGAGCCAUACUAUCCAGUUAUCAUCACAAACCAAUUCUCAUCACAAGUAUCCAGUUCUAGUUGUAUCGAUCGGGAUACAACUCCAAGUGUCCGUUACCGUAGGACAGGCUAUCGAUAGAUGUUUUCUUCCCUGCAGGGGUGCACCAACUUACCCACCACGCUCGAUUAACUCCGGCCGGACACACUUUCCUGGGUCAUGCCCGGCCUCGCCCAAACAAUACGCCACAACCCGACCUAGGCUUAAUAGAGAGGUCAGCACGCCGGACUGAAUCUAUGCCCCCAGGGGUCAUGGGCCAUCUCCUCGGGAACUCCUGCAUGUUGCGUACGCGGCCGGUGAGCAGACCUAGCUACCUCCUUCAACAAGGCAGGUGCUUACGCAGUCCAACCCGGCGCGCGCCGCUCAGUCGCUGACGUCUAUUAAGCUUCGGCUGAUGCAUACGGCGCAGAACGCCCAUACUAUGCCCAGGUGAUGGUUAGUGCUAUCAGGCCAGAGGCCCCUCGGAUCAAAUAUCCAAAUUGUAGUGGAUUAGGAACGCGCGGUAACAAGCAGAGACUCACGAAAGAUGUGACCCCGUUGCCCCGUCUCGAGGACUUGCGGCGAGGGCUAGGAAUGCCCGGCCACGCCUCGUAAUUAUCUCGCGGGCACCCUCCAGGUCAACCCGUCUCCACAUCACUCGCAAUUAAGCUCGCGCGGGUACCCCUCAGGGCCGACCCGUCUUUAGUAACAUGGUCCAGUGUAAAGUCAUAGUAACCAUAGUAACUAUGUGUCCAAACAACAAGGGGAAAACCCGAGGAAUCACCCCCGGUGAAUUCCACUCGAUGUAAUCAUCAAGGUGAACGUAAGAGGAACCACCCCCGAGGUUCACACUUGAGGGGUUGCACGACAGAGUCGUAUCGGAAGUGGUUAAGGCGGAAUCGCCCUCGAUGACCACGACCGAUUAGCUAGACUACAGGGUUAACAUCAGAAGUGCUGUAGAGGUCUCACCCUCGGCACUCGAUAGUAACCCAGUAGUGUCGAGCCACUAAGGGGAAAGUGAUGUGCGGUGCCUGGUCUUCGAUCCCGUUGAUCGGGUCUUCAAUGAUGAAGCAGGGGCAACAAGGACAAGGUGGGGGUCAUUGAUGGAUCACUAACCAACCUAUACUAAGCAGUUUUAGGAUAAGCAGGUAGGUAACAAUGAGCAGGUUACAAAAGCAGGCUAUGCAUCAGAAUAGGAGCAAAUAAUAACAGUAGCAAAAUCUAAUGCAAGCAUGAGAGAAUGGAAUGGGCGAUAUCGGAAUGAUCAAAGGGGGGCUUGCCUGUUUGCUCUGGCAAGGAGGGGUCGUCGUCGACGUAGUCGAUCACAAGGGCAGCAUCGGUCUCGGGGUCUACCGGAGAGAAGAGGGGGAAGAAACAGUAAAUAUAAAGCAAACAUAGCAUCACAAAGCAUAACGUGGCAAUAUGUUGUGCCGGGUGUGACCUAACGUAUGGCUACACGAUAUAGGUGAAGGGGGAAAACAUCCGGGAAUGCUUUCCCGAAGUUUGGCAUUUUCGGACAGAUGAAACGGAGGGGAAAUGUUACAUGUUCGUUAUGCUAGGGAUGUGUGACGGACGAACGGACCGCGUAUUCGGAUUCGUCUCGUCGUUCUGAGCAACUUUCAUGUAUAAAGUUUUUCGAUCCGAGCUACAGUUUAUUUUCUACGAAUUUUAAAAGAUUAUGCAUUUUCUGGAAUUAUUAAUUUAACAGAAUUCACAGAAAAGCAAAAUGACGUCAGCAUUGCGUGGGGAUGAUGUCAGCAGUCAACAGACUCGCUGACCAGGUCAAAACUGACCAGUAGGUCCAGCGGGACCCACAUGUCAUAGAGAGAGUUAACAGAGUUUUAAAACGAACUAACAGAGUUAUUUAUCAGGAAGGCCCCACCUGUCAUGGACUAAUUAACUAAACUAAUUAGUUUUAAUUAUGAAAACAUUUUAAUUAGAGGAUUAAGCGGUGGGGCCCGCACGUCAGCGUUACAGAGGUGCCUAGUCAGCACGUUGACUGGGUCAAACCCAGUCAACGGGGCCUGCGGGGCCCACUGGCAGUGACCCAGGGGUGGCCCCAGGUGUGCCACGUUGGCGGUGGCCGGCGGCUGAACGCCGGCGACCGAAAACAUGGCGGAGGCGCUCGGGACCUCGCCGGAAUCCUCAUACAAGGGCCAUUUGGCCCGCACGUUUGGUGCGUUCGAACAAGUGAGCAACGCCUCAUCCAAACGAGGUAGCGCGGGGCCUCGAAAACGACCGGAGAUGGCUGGACGACGAGUUACCGCGGCGGCCGGAAUUCGGAAAUGUGCAGGUGCAGCUACGGCUUGAUUCUAAGAAAGCUAAGCGGCAUCAGCAGUCCUCCAGGAGCGCGCUACGGGGACUAGACGGAGCAGGAGGAGCUCGGGAGCUUGUGCACGGCAGCAAUGGCGGACGGCGGAGCCGGCGCUUAUGGCCAGCUAGCUAGGGAAGGAGGAGCAAGGACGGGGAGGGAGGAGGCGGAGCUUACGGGGCAGGCACACGGAGGCCUCUUGGGGGUCGGGAGCGCAGAGGGAGGCCUGUGGCUCCGGUGAUCGCCGGUGACCACCGAGAAGGGGAAGAGGGCGAUGCCGACGUCGCCGACGUCCCCGGCUCCAGCUGAUGCACGAGGACGAUGAAGCGGAGGACGGCGCACCUCCCAGGCUCGGUUGCCGGGCUCGGGGACGCCGGUGGCCGCGGGGACGACGAAGACGCGGCGUCGGAUGCGCUCGGUGGAGAGGGAGAGAGCUCGAGGGAGAGGCGAGAGAGAGAGGGCAGAAUGGAGGAGGCGUCCAGGGGAGUGGAUGAGGAGGAUCUAGGGAAAGGUGAGCCCGAGGCGUCGCCCUUAUCCACCUCGACGCCGGCGAGCGGGUGCGGUUGGGGCGCGCUCGGCGCGCGCACCGGGUUGGUGGAACAGGAGGGAGGGGAGAGCGACCGGGGAGGGGGCGUGGGCCGACCUGCUGGGAUGGGCCGAGGCCCAAGGGAAGGCCAGGGGCUUCUCUCUCUCUCUCUCUCUCUCUCUCUCUCUCCUCUGCCUUUUCCCUUUUCUUUUUCCUUUUUGUUUCUUUUAUUUGUUUUGUUUUGCAUUUUUCUUUCAGUACCAAAAUGAGUUUUGUUUUCAACAAAACUUGGCACAAAACCUUGAGAUGGAACAAAAAGUUUGGGGUCAAAAGGAGUUGCCUAAUCAAUUUUAGAAAUUGAAAAGUCCAAUUUAAAUGCUGCUGGAGCACCAAUUAAUUCCCAUGGGCAUUUUGGAAAUUCAGAAGAGGUUGGUUCAACAUGACAGUGAUCAGGGAAAUUUAUAUGAUAAGGUGAACAUUUUAGUUUUGCUGCCCAAAGAAAUAAUUUAUUAGACUUAUUUUAAAUUUGAAAAAGGCUUUGAUUUUUGGACAAGUGGCAAGCUACAUAGUAAUCACGAUGACAUGGCCACCAUUAGGGGGAGAUUACUGUAGCAUGAUUCUCGGGGUGUUACAGACGGGCGGCAGCGGCGGCUACGAAGGUAGCGGCAGCGGCGGCCAAAGAAGAGCGGCGGCGGCGGCCUGACGGCGCCGGCGGCGGCUAGGUUAGGAGUGUGGCGGCGGUGCUCGAAGUAGGCGAAGAACCCUGACAGCGUGACGCAGACCGGCACGGAUGGUGGCGUUCCCGCGCCAAGAAGAUGGCGCGACGCAUACCACGUGAGGUCGACGCGCGGUAUCGGCGGAGCGGACCGUGGGCCGCGGCGCUACGGACCGUGGGCCGCGGCGCAGCGGCUGCAGGCGGGUCGGAGCGACUGCGGGAAGACCUCUGGGCGGCGGCGGGGACCGCGGACCGCGACGCUGCGGCCCGAAGGGGCGACACAACGGCGGUUCGCGAGUUGGUGCAACCGCGGGGACGGCCUCGGGGCGGCGGCGGGGACCGCAUAUCGCGACACUACAUCCCAAAGGGGCGACGCAGCGGCGACGCACGAGUCGAUGUAGCCGCGAGGAGAACCACGGGGUGGCGGUGCUGCGGCCCGACGGGGCGACGCAGUGGCAGCCCGAUGCUCGAUCGGUGGAGAGGCGCGCUGAACUCGGGGACGAUCUUCACGGGACCUGCGGAGGCUCGCGUAACCGACGGGCCAGGUCGGUCGCACGGCGUAGAUGAGGCGGAUCGCGGCGGCGAGCGGGUGAUCAAGCCGAUCGCGCGCGAGGUCGGGGACGCCGCUCGAUGGAGGCGUGGUGGCGGCGGAGUCCGAGAUGAAGCCGGCGACGACGGGCGGCGUGGGACAUCGUGCAGACGAGCAUGUCAGCACCGGCACCCGGGCUGCCAAAGCAACACCGGCGCCCGGGCAGCGAGGCCCGAGCGACCAACGGAGCAGCGGCGCCCGAGUUGAGGCAGCCGACGAGCCUGACGCAGCCAUCCCGACGCAGCCGAGGACGAGGCCGGCGAGGUAGACCACCGGGCCGCCGUGCAGACGCGAUGGAGGCGGGUGAUGUGGAUCGAUGGGCGGGCCGGCGCGCGAGCGACGGCUAUGAUUGGCCGUCGCAUGGCGCGAGGCCGCCGGGUCGGAGCGAUGCAGGUGUCCCAGUCGGAGCAGGGCGGUGACGGCGCAGGGCGAUGGGCGGACCGACGCGCGGACGGCGGCUGGCCCUGACGGGCCGCCUCGGCGCGCGUGGCCGCCGGGUCGGAGGAGAGGCCGGCUGGUCGCGCCGGGGUCGGAGUAGAGGCGCUCGGGGUCGACGGCGGCGGUGGGCGACGCAAACCGAUCGAGAAUAGAUCGGAAAACCAAAAAGAAACCGCGCGAUCAAGAUGACCGGCGGGAGAGAGAAAACCUCGGAGCAAGACUCGGGGAAAAGACUCUCUAAGGCAGCCAGUCAACACGACCGGCGGACGAACACUAGGUACGGGCGACGCGGCCCCCAGCGGCGGUCAUGGAGGCCGAUCGCCCCGGGGACAGCGCACGGGUGUGGAAGCGGCGGCGGCUAGGGUUUAGGAUCAACUUGCGAUAGAUAUCAUGUUAGAAGGGAGAAAGGGAUUUGGUGGAAUAGUUGAUUUAUUGCUUAAGCCUCGUGGGCAUAUAUAUAGGAGUACAAUGAUCUACUUGGAGUACAAGACAAGUCAGAACAAAUCCUAGUCUAUCUCGUUUUUCCUAAUAAAUAUUAUACUCAACAAAUAGUAGGAGUAGUAGUUAACUAAUCCUUACUAUCUGCAGGUUUUCUGAUCAGAGCUAUAGCAAGAACCAAGAGCCAAAAAGGCAGGUCACCCGUUUUUCUUUCCAAGUUUUCCUAGGGUCAUUCAAGCAAAUGAAUUGGCUUUUCAACAAGAGGAAUCCCCACACGUUUCGAGUACCACAAGUUUUUCUUUUGAACCAGGUUAACCCCUCUCAAUUAAUAGCAGUACCACGAGUUUCUUGGAAAUAAUCAUGAUGUAUUUAUAUCAUUAUUAAUAAUCAAGAUGUUUUGCCUGAGGCGCACACAUGGAUGACUCCUCCAUCCGACGUUGACACGAAGCGCACGCGGCCCGUGGUAUGGUGGAAACCAUGUCUUUCAGCGUGUGCAUCACCCCCAUCUAAUCUUAUCUUAUCUCUCUGCCUUGUCUGGUCGUAAAGGACAAAACCAUGGCCCACUGUGCGGGAACCAGAGCGAGAGGUGCAGCGCAAGCAAGCAAAAGCGAGCUCUCCUGAAACUGAAAGCACCCGGUUUCUUUUUUUUUUUUUUUGAGAUCCGCGGCCGCCUGUUUUGCUCCGGCUCUUCCGUGUAUAUAACCCCGUCCCACUCCCACUCUUCCUCCCGUCAACACAAACCAGUAUCAAUUCAGCGAGAUAGUUCAAGAGAAUCAGCUCUGUUCUUUCAGUACCGCAACUUUGCAAGUCCACUACUACCAUACAGAAGGAUCACAAGUCAGUGUCCACUCUCCAGCAGCGCAGCAAGAACAAGGAGGAGGAGGAGGAGGAGAGAUGGCUGCUCCGGCGAAGGCGUCGUGGAUGGUGGCCAUGAGCGUGGGCGCUGUGGAGGCCCUCAAGGACCAGGCUGGACUCUGCCGCUGGAACUACGCACUCAGGUCCGUCCACCGGACAGCCAAGGCCAACGUUCGAGGCGGCGCCUCGCAGGGCAAGAAGCAGCUGCCUGCCUCCGCGGCAGCCGUGGCAGAGAGGCGGCGAGCGGAGAAUUCCGAGGAGGGGCUGAGGACGGUCAUGUACCUCAGCUGUUGGGGCCCAAAUUAGGAGUACUAGUAGCUAGGGCAUAGGGGCGCUUGUGUUCGUUGCAGCAAGAGUAACCUUGUACGAAGACAUGGCCUGAGAGACUUCCUGGUUGUCCCCAUGAUCGGUUGUAAAGAUACCAUGAUGAUGAUGAAAAUUUCGCCUACGAGUUUAUAUCACUGUCCUUGGUCAUGUGCAUCUUUGACUAUUUGUCUUGAGAGGAAGAAAGUUGAGAGUUACUCCGGGAGAGCAACUCAGGGAGGCGAGGUGAGAAGCAUACAGAAAACAGAGCAAGUUCAGCCGCCUGUACAAUACAACCCAAAACUCUGCACAAAGGAAUAAAGGAUAGAACGGAUCUUGGCGAUACACCCGGCUGCCCUCCAAGAUCUUCGUCUUGUCUGAUCAACUCGAACACCUCCAGGUCGCUGAAACGGUGGCUAUUAAUGAUUAUGGCGUCGCGUUCUGUCCAACAAAUUCUUCUCCAGUUGUUUUGAUUCGGAACAACAUGUAUAUGCUUUGCAUUGGUUGCAAGUACUUUCUGUUGCGCGAGUCGACCCGGCUCACAGCAAGUGCAGGGUUCAAGGGAUAGGGAUGCCACUGAAGCCAGUCGCCACUAAGGCAGAGUCGUCAUUCUCUAAAUAUGUUCUUUUUUAUUAGAACGAGCGCGACGGCACAGUGAAGCACAUCGCAAUGUGUCGGUGGAAACGACAUCUAUGGAAUCACGAGGAUCCCUUCUGCGGUUGGCGGGCGCGGGGUUGUGUAAAGAGCGGGUCUAGUAGUUAGCACAAGGAGAUUUUACCUAGGUUCGGGCCGCGUAGAUGCGUAAUACCCUAGUCCUGCUUUAAUGUAUAUUUGAGUGUUCUUGAGUUCUUGAUCUAGCUACGGUGCGUGCGUGGUUCAAAAAGUCCGAAUCCUCUCUCAGUACGCCGCGGGCCUCCUUUUAUAGUAAAAAAGGGGUUGCCACAGUGACACACAGGAGGUGGAAAGUUAUACAGUGCACAAGCUUAUCGCCUGGCAUCACAGGACAAAACGCAUUAAAUGCGCUAUUUAGGUCUCCUCUUGCUUUAUCAGGAACGGUAACAAAGCCCGUCCCGUCCGUCGCCGCUUCGCCUUGCUUCGACAUGCGUCCAGGCCAACGGGGCGUGCAGCGCCAUGUAGGCUGGCAGGCUGCUGAGCUGGCGCGGUGGCCACGAAGAUCUGCAUGCCACCACGCAGGUGCUUGUCUAGUUGGCUUAGGAGUCAUGUACUGCCACGUGGGUACUUGUUUAGUUGGUGGGUCGACCGCUGAGCUGGGGCGGCGACGGGGCGGCAAGGCCUUGCCGCGGUCGUGCUGAUAUUCCCGGCAAGGGUCUUGCCGGGGCCUUGUGAGCGCCCUCGGCAAGAGUCUUGCCGGGGCCUCGUAGGUGUCUUCGGCAGAAGUCUUGCCGGGGCCUCGUGGGCAUCCUCGGCAAGGAGCCUUGCUGUAGUCUUGUCUUCUGGUUCUCAUCUAGGCCUUGCAGGCUCUUUGUCUUCACAAAGAUCUGCAUGCCACCAUGCAGGCGCCUCCCGAGUCUUGGUUCCAAUGUUUGUCGAUGGUGUCGGAACUCUCAGGCUCAAGUGUGGGGGCCUCGCUGGAGUUGGGCAAGUUGCCCCUGCAAGGCUCUUGCCGGGGCUGUGUGGGCUGCCCCGGCUAGGGUCUUCCCGGGAGGAAGCCCAUCUUGUUGCCUCGUCGUCCGCGCCCCUGGUUGGAGCGCUGCUCUGGUAGUCUUGUACUUUUGCCUCCUUUGCCACGCCAAGCGUGGCCAUCGGCUCGUGGUUGUGACUGCGGGCGCACAAGUAAAGGGGUACCAAAAGGACCGCUAAUUUUGUACACCGACAGGAGCCCCCAGGCCUGGGCCACAUAUAAGUGCGGAGCGUUAUUGGGCCAGGCCCAGAAGAGUGCGCGGGUCCGCGUGUGGCGGAGUUUUACCGCAUUAAUUCCCUCGCCAGUUGCGCUUCCCCACGACCCGCGUUGAAUGCGUGACGUGGGGGUCGUGCGUGGAGUGAUUGCUGCACGCGCGCGUCCCAUCGUGGUAAAUGGUAAAGAGGCGGCCCGCGUCUCCCCUACAAAGAAUAGAGGAAGCUGCAGGGGCGCGGCUCAUUUACUAAGUGGACUCGGGUCAUGGCCAUUAUGGCAGCCUCGUCCUACUGUUAGAGUAGUCAUUAUGGUAUACGACUUCUAGUCCAAGUCAGUUUUGUAUCCCUACCCCAAGUCGGUUUGUACCCUCUUAUAUACUCUUGUAUGCCGCACCAAAUCAUCAAUAAGCAACAGUUUUAUUCAGCUUUCAUGGUAUCAGAUACCGGUCCUAGGGUUUAGGGUAUGGCUCCGCCAACGCCACCGCCACCGCCGCCGCCCGGCUACUUCGAGCGCCGGGCCGCACUCAUCGCCAAGGCUGCCAACGCCACGGCCGCUUCUCUCUCGGCCCUCACCAUAACUCCACAAAACUACCCUGCACCGAUCCUCGCCGCACCAAUAUCUCUUGCUGACACAAUCUCCGACGUCAGCCCCUACAUCCCCAUAGUUCUUGAUCUCGCUGCCCACAACUACUACCAUUGGAGACAUCUCUUCGAUCUCCACCUCGGCCGCUGCAACCUGCGCUCGCAUGUCACCGCCAACUGUCUUCCCCGCCCCGACGAUCCGCAAUGGUUGAAAGACGAUCUUGCGAUCGUCCAGUGGUUCUACACCCGCAUCACCACCGAGAUCUUCAACAUGCUCGAUCACGACGGCGCCACCGCUGCCAACAUCUGGCACUCCCUCCGUCAGCUCUUCCACAGCAACACCGACGCUCGGAAAAACGCUCUCCACACCGAGCUUCGCAAUAUGGUGCAAGGAGACGCCCGGUGAACCUGUUCUGCCAGCGCGUUAAGACCAUUAGUGAUGAGCUCCGCGAACUCGGCGAUACAGUUAGCGACUCACAGCUAAUCAAUAUCGUCGUCGUCGGCCUCAGCGAAGACUUUGACAAGCAAGCCUCGUUCAUACCGAUGAUACGGCCCCCUCCUACCUUCGCUGAAGUUCGUUCCUUGCUACAACUCGCGGAGGAAACACAAGCUCGCAAGGACUCUCGCCCCAAGGUCUUUCAUGCUGCGGCUCGUCCUCCUCUGUCGUCUACACCAGCGCCGCCUUCCAGGCCGGCUCCUGCCGCCGGGCCGUCCGCAUCGUCAUCUGUUGAACCGCCCCCAGGCUGGCGUCCUAGUCUGAACUACCGCGGCAAAAACCCUAUCUACAGGCCGCCGUCGACUCGUUCGGUUCCGCCUACGACAUCCCCAGCACCGAGUCCUGCACCACCCACCAGUGCUCCAUCUGCGGUUGCAUGGCGGCCUCCUCAUGAUCCUUGGACGGGGCUUGUUCAAGCAUGGCCCAUGCCCUGGUCCGCUCCGUCCACCCUCGGUGCUCCGCCGGCAUACUCAGGUGCCUGGCAACCCGGCCUUCGGCCGCCUACUGGUGCUCCCGGGGUUCUCAACCCCCGACAGCCGGCCAAUGCCUAUCACGCCGCCCCGACGUAUGCUCCUUAUGGUCAUUACAGCACCGACGGCGGCGCCUACUACACACCUCAGCCAGUCCUGCUCCCGACGCCACCCCCACCACAGCCGGCCAAUGCCUACUACACUCCCCAGCCGGCCCUACUGCCUUCACCAUCGUAUCCGCCGGCACCGCUUCCGACGCCACCCUCACCUGCGACGCCAAGCUGGGAUCAAGCUGCCUUUCUCCAGGCCAUGAAUAACUUUGCUGCACAAGGAAACUCAGGUACGGAUUGGAUCUUUGAUUCAGGGGCCUCUAGUCAUAUGUCUGCAUCUAGUAAUUGGUUAUCUUCUUGCACUAAAUCUCCUUUCCCUUCCAUUAUCCUUGGAGAUGGAUCAUCUAUUCCUAUAUAUUGUGUUGGUCAGGCUCAACUUCCCUCUUCCACCAAACCUCUUUUACUUCGCGAUGUUCUAGUUGCACCCGCCCUCAUUAAAAAUCUUAUCUCUGUUCGCCAAUUUACUUGCGACAAACUAGUUUCGGCUGAAUUUGACCCUUUUGGUUUAUCCGUGAAGGAUUACCUGACCAAGGCCGAGAUCGCUCACUUCAAUAGCUCCGGUGAUCUUUAUUCUCUUAAUGGAGUUCCUGCCGCUACCCCUCCAACAUCCAUGCUGGCCUCCGUCGAUCUCUGGCAUCGUCGCUUGGGCCAUCCCAACCCCGCCGUCUUAGCUUCUAUGCUUAGUGAAUUUACCAUACCAUGUCAUAGGGACUCUCAUAAUUCUGUGUUUUGCGAGUCUUGUCAAUUAGGCAAACAUGUGCAUCUUCCCUUUAGUUCCUCUAGUUCUUGUAGCACUUAUCCCUUUGAAUUAAUACAUUGUGAUUUAUGGACCUCUCCCAUUGCAAGUAUUUCGGGUUUUAAAUACUACCUUGUUAUCCUAGAUGAUUUCACCCACUUUGUCUGGACUUUUCCUCUACGCAACAAAUCCGAGGUCCAUUCUCUUUUCCUUAAUUUUCAACGCUAUGUGUCUGUUCACUUCUUCCUCCCAUUUCGCUUUAUCCAAUGUGACAAUGGUCGCGAGUUUGAUAACAUUAAAAAUCGUACUUUCUUCUUACAACAUGGCAUCCUGCUUAGGUUCUCAUGUCCCUACACCUCCCCUCAAAAUGGUAAAGCAGAACGCUCUCUUCGCACCCUCAAUGAUAUAGUUCGCACUCUCCUCAUUCAAUCAUCUAUGCCUCCCAAGUUUUGGGCUGAAGCCCUACACAUGGCCACCUUCCUUCUAAAUAUUCGACCUUCUAAAACUAAACCCAACACUACUCCCUAUUAUUCCCUCUUUCUUUCCCACCCCGACUACUCCGUUGUUCGUGUUUUCGGCUGUCUCUAUUUUCCCAAUGCCUACGCCACUUCUGCAAAUAAAUUGUCACCACGCUCUAUCCCAUGUGCUUUUCUCGGCUUCUCUGACGAGCACAAAGGCUAUCGCUGUCUCGACCUUCACACCGGACACGUUCAUGUCUCUCGUCAUGUCACGUUUGCUGAGCACAUUUUUCCUUUCUCACAACGCACUACUACACCAUCCAACACCCCUAGCUCCGCAAACACCCCCUCUUCCCGUCCUUUCCAACUAUAUACUCCCCUACCUGCCGAACACAACUUAUCACCACCACCAUUAACACCCACCAUAGCCAAUCCCAACCAUACACUCACCCCACCCGAGACGUCUCCAACUCCCCCGACCCCUGCUUCCUCCCCAACACCCCCGGCCCCUACUCCCACUCCACCACCCAGCCCUGCUCCCACUCCACCACCCAGCCCUACUCCUUCGUCCGACUCUUCCGCUGCGCCGGACUCACCAGUACCCACCUUACCCCCUCGUGCUAUUCCUACAGCAGCCCCGAUUAAUGAUCAUCGCAUGCGUACUAGGGCCAAAUCAGGAUUUCAUCAACCCCAAGACCGCCUAAACCUUCAUACCUCCGUAUCUCUCACUUAUCUUCCAAAGAAUUACAAAACUGCUCUACUUGAUCCCAAUUGGGCCGCUGCCAUGCAAGAAGAAUAUAAUGCUUUACUUCAAAACAACACCUGGCAACUUGUUCCUCAUCCUCCCAAUACAAAUAUUGUUUCUGGCAAAUGGAUUUUUUGCCAAAAGUUCCACUCCGAUGGGAGCCUCUCACGAUAUAAAGCCAGGUGGGUUUGUCGUGGCUUUUCUCAGCAACAAGGAAUUGAUUAUGAAGAAACCUUCUCUCCUGUUGUUAAACCUAGCACCAUUCGCACCGUUCUUAGUGUUGUUGUCUCCUCUUCAUGGCCCAUUCACCAACUUGAUGUUAAAAAUGCUUUCCUCCAUGGUUCCCUUCAAGAAACUGUCUACUGCCAGCAACCUCUGGGUUUUGAAAAUCCAUCCUUUCCAACUCAUGUAUGUCUUCUUCAGAAAUCUCUCUACGGUCUUAAACAGGCCCCACGAGCUUGGUUUCAACGCUUCUCCUCCUUCAUUCAAACAAUAGGCUUCACUCCAUCUCUCUCCGACACCUCUCUUUUUGUGUAUCAUCAAACUUCUGACACUGCCUAUUUACUUCUCUAUGUAGAUGAUAUCAUUCUUACCGCCUCCUCUCAAAAGUUCUUAGAUCAUAUUGUCUCUCUUCUUAGAUCUGAAUUUUCUAUGACUGACCUAGGACUCCUUCAUCAUUUCUUAGGCAUUGCUGUUGUUCGAGAUUCCUCCAGCCUUUUUCUUUCCCAACACCAGUAUAUUCUUGAUCUUCUUAAUCGUGCUGGUAUGCUUGACUGUCAAUCAUUCGCACUCCUAUCGAUACUAGUUUUAAACUUUCGGCUAUCGGUGAACCCUUUUCUGAUCCUACUCUCUAUCGUAGCCUAACAGGUGCUCUCCAAUAUCUCACCAUUACUCGUCUUGAAAUCUCUUUUGCUGUUCAACAAGCAUGUCUCUAUAUGCAUGAUCCCCGGGUUCCUCACUAUAAUCAUGUUAAACGCAAUCUUCGGUAUUUAAAAGGAACUCUCAAUCAUGGUCUCCACCUCAAUAAUUCUUCUCCAAACUCGCUUACCGCAUACUCUGAUGCAGACUGGGCUGGUUGUCCUGACACUCGAAGGUCCACUUCCGGUUUUUGUGUUUUUCUUGGUAACAAUUUGAUUUCUUGGUCUUCGAAAAGACAUGUUAUAGUCUCACGUUCGUCGGCCGAGGCUGAGUAUCGCGCUGUGGCACAUGCCGUUGCAGAUACCAUCUGGAUUCGGCAGUUACUCUCCGAGCUACACAGGCCUAUUGAGCAGGCCACUAUUGUCUACUGUGACAACAUAUCAGAGUCUACAUGACCAGCAAUCCAGUUCAACACCGACGCACAAAGCAUAUUGAGAUUGAUAUUCAUUUUGUUCGUGAAAAGGUUGCUCUUGGUCAGGUUCGGGUGCUUCAUGUUCCCUCUACGGCUCAGUUUGCUGACAUUUUCACCAAGGCACUGCCUACUAAGCCGUUUCAAGAUAUCUGUUUCAGUCUCAACGUCGUCGAGCCUGCCGUUGAUACUGCGGGGGGAUGUUAGAGUAGUCAUUAUGGUAUACGACUUCUAGUCCAAGUCAGUUUUGUACCCCUACCCCAAGUCGGUUUGUACCCUCUUAUAUACUCUUGUAUGCCGCACCAAAUCAUCAAUAAGCAACAGUUUUAUUCAGCUUUCACCUACGACCACGGGGGGCGAAACAGCCGUUCCACUUGUUAUCUGAAUUCUGGCUCUCCCGCCACGUGUCCUCCAUGCGUCGGGGAGGGCAGGCGGUGGACACAGAAGGUAUGGGCUUUAACGUCGGGGCGAGGGCCGGGCGUCGCUAAUUGGGGCAGCGGGUCGGUCAUGUCUCCUUGCGCCUCCGGCAGCUGCAUCGGUUGACUGGGGCGGUCGCCCUCAGGCUGGUUCGGCCCCGUCCCCCUAUAAAAAGGGGAGAGGGGCAGCACCUUCUCGCAUUCAUCCUCUGCCAGUUCAAUCCCUUCCCUUCCCUUGUCAUGGCGAGAGGGUGCGGCGGCGCUCUAGCGGUGGCGACGAGGGCUUCUGCUCAACAGCGUGUCCCCCUCCUCCGGAACUCAUGGUGGCGGAGCCCGCAGUGAGAGGAGGAGGGAGGGGGCGAGGCCGAGGUCGCCGUGGCGCUCGGGGAGAGGAGGACGGGGCGGCGCACCGGCCGUGCUCCCGCCAGCGGCUCCUCUCCCAAUGGAGGGCCACGUCGAAGAUCAGCCUCGCGAGUUCUUCAUCAGGCUGUACAAGCCGGUGUGCGGUCAUCUUCGCCUCCCCACCCCGUUCGCUUGGGAGAUGGAGCUCGACCCGCCAGAAUCCUUGAGAUUGCACAUAAGGGGCUGUGGGAUUGGCGCCAUACAGGUUGAUGUCGACUUCCCCGCCCCUCACAUUAUGUAUCUCCGUCAUUGGUGGAAGACCUUUGCUCGUGCCCAUAGCCUGUCGGAGGGGCACGUUCUCCAGUUCAAAUUAAUGGAGAACGGCCUGCUCUCCAUCAAGGUUUUUGGGCGUUCGGGAAUCAGGUUAGGGUGCUGUGCGGAGAGCUCGACCAAUGACGAAAGCUCCUCCUCGAGCGAAAGUGAUGAGGAGGACACCGAUGGGGAAGACGACGGGGACGGGUCCGACUAAGUGUCGGACAUGCCGUCCCCGGGCGACGUCGACAGCACCAUCAUCUGCACCUGGCCUUCCCCUAGGCAGAGCGAUUUGCUGGGGGUGGGGCCAGCUCCUUGAACUUCUCGGGGUUGUCGCCUUGGGCGGCUGGCGUUGGGAGGCCGGAGAAGAUGAAGAAGGCGGGUGGCGGGCCGUCAAGUCGGAGUACGAUGGCACCGACGCCUUCAUCGCGUAUUGCCGCCCCGCUGCCUCAUCUUCCGGCUCUUCUCCCGGCACCAUCAUCACCAGCUCUCUUCUGGACGACCGCCGGAUGUUCUCUUGGUGUCUUGUGCGGCUCGUACCUCGCCUAGGCACUUCUUUUGCCCUCCCACAAUCUUGAUCCAUUUCCUGAGGAGAGGGACAAGAAAGGGAUUACGGGUAACUUAUCUCUUUUUAGUUUUUAAGCCUGCGGGCAUUUGCCAGAUUUAAACUUUGUAAUCCCCUUGUUCAUGUUCACAUUCCGUAUGAAUUGUACUUGUUAACAACAUAUUAACGAAAGAGGGUUCUUGCCGGGUCCUUUUGUGUGCGACCGGAUCUCACACAAAGGAACGAGCCCUUGUUAUCUUAAGAUAAACAUCGUCACCCAGCAACAGACCUUGUCGUCCUCCCGCUCCAUAGCCCGACCACGCUCACGCCCUUGGCGGAGGUAGGGGCAAAGUAGGAUUAGGCCCUUCAUUUUGUUCCCUUUCCAUCGCACUACAACCAAGUUCCGGCCAAAGAAAGGUUUUUGGACGCGGGAAAGAGGGAGCACGGCGGUAUAGGAGUAAGUGAAGCUUCAUAUGUUCAAGUCUCAUACGGAAGCGUAGAGUGGGGGAUGAAAAACUUAUCUGAUUCUGCAGCCCCCGGCAAUCUUGGCUUGCCGUGGUUGGAUAUCUGGAUCUGCAGCCCCCAGCAACCUUGGCUUGCCGGCGUUAGGGCGUCGACCUGUUCCCUUUCUUCCAAACAGCUCAGCAGAAAACGCCCGCGCAUCCUGCGAACUAAAACAAAGGACGGGAAGGAACAGAAGAAAGACGCAGACUCGACCUCUAUGCUAAGGGUUAGUCGUCGCCAAGCACUAUCAACCCUAACAAAGAGGGAGACUCAACCUAGCAUGCAUGCUAAAACUUAGGGCGCCAGCGCUUCAUCUAUUUAUGCUCAGGGUCUGCGCCUGGCUUUGUACAAAGGGAUACAUGCCUCGCCGGCAAGGCUUGUACAAAAGGUGGUCUGCCCGGGGGCCAGGCAACCGCGCCUUACGGGUAAAACUUGCGAAGAUGUUCGAUGUUCCAGGAGUUGCUCACUGGAAUACCAUAUUCGGUCUCCAGGCGGACUGCGCCGGGCCUGGUGACUCGUAUUACCUGAUAAGGGCCUUCCCACUUCGGCGUCAACUUGUUGGAAUUCUUGGCCGACUGAGCGUGCCGAAGAACAAGGUCGCCUUCCUCAAAGCUUCGGGCAUAAACCUUGCGGCUAUGGUAGCGGCGCAAGGCUUGCUGGUAGCGUGCUGCUCGCACAGCCGCCCGAAGACGAUCUUCCUCAAGGAGCGUUGCGUCAUCUUUCCGCAAUUGCUCUUGCUCCAGCUCAUCAUAAGUGAGCACUCGGGGUGACCCGUAUGUGAGUUCCGUGGGGAGAACUGCUUCUGCCCCGUAAAUGAGGGAGAAGGGCGUCUGGCCGGUGGCUCGACUUGGUGUCGUUCUGAUUGACCAAAGAAUCGUCGGCAAUUCAUCAAUCCAACGCCUUCCGCACAUGUGUAGCCUGUCAAAAGUCUUUGUCCGGAGGCCCCGCAGUACUUCAGCAUUUGCCCUCUCCGCCUGGCCGUUGCUCCGUGGAUGUGCAACAAAAGCAAAACAGACGUUGCUGCCGAGGUCUUGGAUGUACUGCAUGAAGGUGUGGCUUGUGAACCGCGUGCCGUCACUGGUGCGCAUCGGUCCUAAACAAACGGUUUAAAACCCCUUUCCGCGACGGCAUUUGGAACCGUCGCCAAGUGAGUGUGGGCGAUAGGGGGGGUCCUUCCCACACGACCCAGAAAUCGUCGGGGAUAGGCCCUCGUGGGACCCAGGCUGGGGCCGUGUGCGAUCGGGCAAGGCAUGGAAACCAAAUAUGUACAUCCCACACGGUGAAUCCCAGAAAUCAUUUCCAUAGGUAUGUACAUCCCACACGGUGAAUCCCAGAAAUCAUUUCCGUAGGUAUGUACAUCCCACACGGUGAAUCCCAGAAAUCAUUUCUGUAGGUAUGUACAUCCCACACGGUGAAUCCCAGAAAUCAUUUCCAUAGGUAUGUUCAUCCCACACGAUGAAUCCCAGAAAUCAUUUCCGUAGGUAUGUACAUCCCACACGGUGAAUCCCAGAAAAUCAUUUCCGUAGGUAUGUACGUCCCACACAGUUCUUUGUGUGGAAACGUGUGUGCAAGGUGGCCUAACGCAAACAGUUCGCUGCCGGAAGCCGUGUAUGAUUGUUAGUUGAUCGAACACGCCUACUUUCUAGAAACCGUGCGGGUUGUUUGAGUUCAUCGCCCACGGUGCUGUCUGAGUAACCGUCUGCAAUAGAAAACCCCAAUAAGCAGGGUAAUUAGCCUAUUAUUGAUAAUCCAUGUACUAAUCAAACUGAUAUUUCUUAUAAAACACGCCAGAUAUUUCAUAUCCGAAUAAAAGCAACCAGGAUUUCAUAAUGGAAUUACAUCAGAUAGCUUCGGCACUCAGUUACACCAUUACACAGCAGCACCAAGCUUCACAUGCAGCAUCAAAAACCUUUGGAAAGUAGCAUCAUACACGUAAAUAGACAGAUGAAUCUCAUCUGGGAAACUGCAGAAGCGGAAGACAAAUAUUGAGCCUUCAGUGAUGUUGAAUGUCCUUGCAACUUUAGGCCAGUGGCUAUGGAUAAUUGCCCGCCCAACCUUUGUCCUCUUCAGCAAGACUUCAAUAUUGUACCGUGGGUGUUGAAUGAAUACCUUCCUCGCCUCUUGACCAUGCAGGUAGUUUGAGAACUAAUCAUCGGUGAACUGCAUUGAAAAGUACUGAAAACAAAGCUAUGCAUAAAUCACUGUUGUAAAUUUUGAAAUGGCGCAAGGGGUAAAAACAAGGUAAAAGAGUUGGUACCAUCCUAUAGUUGACUGAUGUCUUCUUCAUUGUGCAAACAAAGAUCUUGCUGUUAUUCCUCGCAAGUUUCUUCAUCCUAACAAUCUUUCUGAGUUUCUUGACUUGACUGAUAUUCAUGGACAUCUCAUUUCCCCAUAUGCAAAAUGGGUCGAACAGUGGGUCUAAGCCUCUGACAGCAGGACCUACAUGUGCAAGACCAAAUUGUAAGAAACCUAAAUAUUAGAAUGAUUCCUGCAACUGCACAAUAAUGUGCUAUUAGCCAAAGGACCCUGCUUGAACAAACCUCGACGGUAAACCGCAGUGUCUCCCAUUGUUUCCCUGCAACACACAUAAGGAAGAUCUUGAUCAGGUUAACUGAGAGUUGCCAUACUAUCAGUAGAAUAUGUAUUGAGUACAGCCAAAUGCGAUUGGUGUCACAUGCAUAACAAUACAAAAUUGUACCCACAGCAAAUGAAAAUCAAAUUGCAGAACUGAACCAAACAGUUAAAUGGACAGCAAACCAAAUGAACCAAAAUAGUUAACUGAGCACGACAUUGCAGAAUAGAAACAUGUACUAGAAGAUAAGAUAGUUAACAAAACAAGGAAUGCUUGAGAACAGUACUACGAAAUGUAGCAAUUGUUGGACCAAAGUGUUAACUGAACAUUACAUUUCAGAGGACCAAACUGUUAACUGAACAUCAGAUUGCAUAUUAACAUUACAGAGAACAAAUCACUAGAAGGCACUGGCAGUGGCCACGAGAAAACAUCACGAACUGUAUUUUAAAGUAGACAACCGCGCGGCGGUGUCGACAGUGGCCUCGAAGACAAGGUGCUCCUCCAAGAUAUGGCGGUCGACACGCAUGUCAGCCAUAGUGACCUCGUUCGCGCAUGCGGCCGCAUACUAUUCAGCUCCACGUUAUACUGCGUGUAAAAUGCAUGGUUGUGGGUGGCGCUUAAUUGGAGGAGGGGGGCAGUGAUUUUGGUGGAAGGUGUCGCUCCAUCAGUCGGGGCAUGUGGGACGGGAAAGGAGGAGGAUGGCGUGGGUGGGGUGUGGAUUACCUGACCAUAUCGACAAGGCCGCGCAGCAAGAAGAAGGGUCGGUGGCGAGGAGGCUGCGCAGCAAGAAGAAGGGUUGCCGGCGAGGAGGCGGCGCUGCAAGAAGAAGGGUCGCCGGCGAGGAGGCGGCACUGCAAGAAGAAGGGUAGCCGGCGAGGAGGCGGCGCUGCAAGAAGAAGGGUCGCCGGCGAGGAGGCUGAGCUGCCAGUAAGCAACAGUGAAGGUUUGAACUUGGAAAGCAAGGAGGAACAUUGGAAAUGUGGCUUUUGGUAGGAGGGAGGGGGCGGGGAGAUAGAUAUUUCCGCGGUGGCAAAAAAAAUUCGCUCGGUGUCGCGAGAAACUGGCGCGCAAGUGUGGUUCAAGCGGGGGCGGUGGACUGUAGUUGACGAAGCUUCCUGCGUAAGCCAGACAAGACGGUGCGCCAAGAUAUUUUAUAUCGCCUCCCACACGAUUCUUUCUAGUAAACUGUUUGUGGUAUACCUGAUUUUUUCAUUAUGUUUUGAAAGACAAAAUGGUGUUACGGAGGGAAAGGAUGGUGUUUGAAUUGCUAGAACAUUUACGUACAGUGAAUAUGCAACUAGUACAUAAGUGUCGUGUUUAAAUUUGGAAUUAUUCCGGGUUCGUUUGGCAUUUUUAUGCAUUAAUUGAGUUUCUGGGCAUUUAAUGUGCAUAAUUCAAAUUUGAACUACAAGCACAUGCUUCAGUGCACCAUAGUUGUUUGAAAAAUCACAUGUGUGUCCUUGGGUGAAUUUUUAGGUCACAUGCAAGAGAUGGGAGUGAAAUUCAAACAUCUGGGCAUCGUGGCUCGACCGAAAAUAUUGAGAAACUUGGUUUUUUAAUUCCUGUAAUUCCAAAAAACGCCUGAAAAUCAUGAAACUUGGCAUGGUCUCAUGGCAUGGCACGAACAUGCUGCGUUAAUUUUUUUGGCCGAAUUGGGACAAGCUUUGGUGUAAGCUUCUUGCAAACCAGAGCUUCCCUCAAGAAGGCUCGUGGUUCCGAGAGGGAACGUGCCACCUUCGUGUGCGAAAUGACAUACGUACACUGCCUUCUUCCGCCUUAACUUUUUUGCACAUCCAGAUUAGACCAAAUAGAAGUACUGUGCUAAAUUUUGGAAUUAUUCCGGGCUCGUUUCGCCUUUUUUAUACAUUAAUUGAGUUUUUGGGCAUUUAAUGUGCAUAACUCAAAUUUGAACUACAAGCACAUUCUCUAGUGCACCAAAGUUGUUUGAAAAAUCACAUGUGUGUCCUUGGGUGAAUUUCUAGGUCCCAUGCAAUAGAUGUGAGUGAAAUUCAAACAUCUGGGGGUCGUGGCUCGACCGGAAAGAUUGAGAAACUUGAUUUUUUAAUUCCUGUAAUUCCAAAACACGCCUGAAAUUCAUGAAACUUGACAUGGUGUCAUGACAUGGCACCAACAUGCUGCGGUAAUAUUUUUUGCCAAAUUGGGACAAGCUUUGGUGUAAGCUUCUUGCAAACCGGAGCUUCCCUCAAGAAGGCUCGUGGUUCCGAGAGGAAACGCGUCACCUCCGUGGUGAAACGACAUACGUACACUGCCUUCUCCCGCCUUAUUUUUUUUACACAGCCAGAUUAGACCAAAUAGAAGUACCGUGCUAAAUUUUGGAAUUAUUCCGGGCUCGUUUCGCCUUUUUUAUACAUUAAUUGAGUUUCUGGGCAUUUAAUGUGCAUAAUUCAAAUUUGAACUACAAGCACAUGCUCCAGUGCACCAAAGUUGUUUGAAAAAAUCACAUGUGUGUCCUUGGGUGAAUUUCUAGGUCCCAUGCAAGAGAUGGGAGUGAAAUUCAAACAUCUGGGCGUCGUGGCUCGGCCGAAAAUAUUGAGAAACUUGAUUUUUUAAUUCUUGUAAUUCCAAAAGACGCCUGAAAAUCAUGAAAUUUGGCAUGGUGUCAUGACAUGGCACCAACAUGCUGCGGUAAUAUUCUUGGCCGAAUUGGAACAAGCUUUGGUGUAAGCUUCUUGCAAACCGGAGCUUCCCUCAAGAAGGCUCGUGGUUCCGAGAGGGAACGUGUGUCACCUCCGUGUGCAAAACGACAUACGUACAUUGCCUUCUCCCGCCUUAUUUUUUUACACAGCCAGAUUAGACCAAAUAGAAGUACCGUGCUAAAUUUUAGAAUUAUUCCGGGCUCGUUUCGCCUUUUUUAUACAUUAAUUGAAUUUUUGGGCAUUUAAUGUGCAUAAUUCAAAUAUGAACUACAAGCACAUGCUCCAGUGCACCAUAGUUGUUUGAAAAAUCACAUGUGUGUCCUUGGGUGAAUUUCUAGGUCCCAUGCAAGAGAUGGGAGUGAAAUUCAAACAUCUGGACGUCGUGGCUCGGUCGGAAAGAUUGAGAAACUUGGUUUUUUAAUUCCUGUAAUUCCAAAACACGCCUGAAAAUCAUGAAACUUGGCAUGGUGUCAUGACAUGGCACCAACAUGCUGCGGUAAUAUUCUUGGCCGAAUUGGGACAAGCUUUGGUGUAAGCUUCUUGCAAAUCGGAGCUUCCCUCAAGAAGGCUCGUGGUUCCGAGAGGGAGUGUGUCAUCUCCGUAUGCGAAACGAUAUACGUACACUGCCUUCUCCUGCCUUAUUUUUUUACACAGCCAGAUUAGACCAAAUAGAAGUACCGUGCUAAAUUUUGGAAUUAUUCCGGGUUCGUUUGGCCUUUUUUAUACAUUAAUUGAGUUUCUGGCCAAUCAAUGUGCGUAAUCCAAAUUUGAACUACAAGCACAUGCUCCAUUGCACCAUAGUUGUUUGAAAAAUCACAUAUGUGUCAUUGGGUGAAUUUCUAGGUCCCAUGCAAGAGAUGAGAGUGAAAUUCAAACAUCUGGGCGUCGUGGCUCGGCCGGAAAGAUUGAGAAACUUGGUUUUUUAAUUCCUGUAAUUACAAAACAUGCCUGAAAAUCAUGAAACUUGGCAAGGUCUCAUCGGGAGAUGCCGUGCGGGGUAGCUAUUUGAGUACGGGAGGCGUGCGAUCAGACCCCUGAGCGUGCUCAUCGGGAGGAGAGCCCUUUGACCCCUACCCGCCGCACACCUCCCUCCCAACGUCUCCAUUAAUGGCACCCGAGCACCUAUUCUACGGCGUGGCUAUAUGUCUCACUGGACUGAGAUUUAAGAGAGAAAAAUGAAAAUCUGAAAAGAAAGUUUUGCACGGAUCUUGAUGUAAGAUUCGACGGACCUAUAUAGAAUUGACUGCGACUUAUAGCAAGCAUGGUGAAUAUAAGGACGAUGACAGUGGAUAAUAAUUGUCUUACAUAUUUAGAAACAUAAUUAAAAAAAGCCACAUGCGGCAACGCCCGAAAUACACAAGGGCAAAAGAAGAAGGAAGACAACGAUCUGGCUCGCUGGUCUCUACUUUCUUGAUGCGUUGCUGCAGGCCGCGGGAACUAGUCUCCUUGGCGAGCGGCGACGAGCUCUUUCUUGUCCUCAAGAUGCUGCUUGAGAGCAUCCACGGAUUCCUCCACCAGCCUUCUGCGCUCGAUGCGCAGCUUGUUAUUCUCGUCCAUAAGUUUCUCGACGAUGACGCCGGUCCUCUUCAACAAGGCAGUGGUCUGCUCCUGCUGCUCCGCACUUCCGACAAUAUUCGCCCUCAGCGGGUCGCGCUCGGCCUGGAGCUUCGCAUUGCUCUCAUUUAGUUGCCGGAUGAUGUCGGUAGACUGUUCAAACGAGGCAUGCAGGUCAUCCUGCAACCUCACCCACCCGGAGAUCUAAUCCAUCUGCCUAUGGACGAGGGCACGCAUGCGCCUGUAAGAGUCCUCGCCUGCCCGCGAGGCAUUUUCCCAGGCCGCGGCGGCAAGGGAGGACAUCUCUACUGCAUUCGCGGCGCGGUGGGACAUCUCUUCUGCUUCCGCGGCACGGCCGGACCAGUCUGCUACAUCGACGGUGCGACGGGUCCUCCGUGUUGCUUCGGCAGUGCGGCGGGACCUCUCUGCUGCUACUGCCGUGCGGCAGGACAUGUUGGAUGCUAUCGCGGCGAGGCGGGACAUCUCUCGUGCCCCCGCUUCCAGGUUCGCCUCUCCCUAGUCGCAAUCUCUCGACCCAGAACUGACGCUGGCCAUGGCGGAUGCAAGGGAACGAUGAUGAAUGACUUGUUUGUUUUUGACUUUUUGUGGAUGAGGAGUUGAGGAGGAAUGUGCAGUCAUCUUGGAGUAGUAGUAUUUAUAACCGCGUAGUAAUACGCUCCUAAGUGGGAAACCGUUUAGGUUUUGAUCAGUGUGAACAGGUUUGCAAUUUGGAAUGUGAUGGGACGCCUGCUCAAAAUUUACUGACGGUUAUAAGUGCGGCACUAUUCCAGGAAGGCGUAACGUGGGCACGUACGCCUUCUCGGCCGCCUACGUGGCGUUUGCACCAUAGGGUGCACCGCAAUAGGCAAUGUCAGCACAUGUCUUUUAAUUAGAAUGGGUGUGCCCGUCUAGCGCACAUACGUUGAUCUAUCUAACUAUUUCAGUUUGUUGUGGCUAAUCGCAAACAGUUCAUCCAUGUGAAGUGUAUGCCAUCGAUCGCAGACACUUUGAUCUGGCUUACCCGUUUCUGUUCUACUGCCUAAUCGCAAACAGUUAAUCCUUCUGAAGCGUAUGCCCUCAAUCACACACACCUUGAUCUGGCUGACCGUUUCUUUUGUGUUGCCUAAUCACAAAUAGUUCAUCCGAGUGAACCGUAUGUUGUAUAUCGCACACACCUUCAUCUGGCUGCCCGUUUCUUUUGUGUUGCCUAAUCACAAACAGUUCAUCCGAGUGAAUCGUAUGCUCUAUAUCGCACACGCCUUCAUCAGGCUUCCCGUUUCUUUUGUUCCGCCUCAUCGCAAACAGUUCCUUGGACUGAACCUUAUGCCCUGGAUCGCACACGCAACUAAAAUCUGAACCGUGUUUGAUGCAUCCUCCAUCGCAAACGUUUUCACCUUUUUGACGGUUUUCAUACAGCACCGUUUGCGAUUAUGUUAUCGCACACAGUUUCUCGAAGGGUCUCUGAUCGUAGUGUCGCGUUAGCAGCAUCCUACAGUAGUGCGUUGUCGGUGAUGACUCUAUUUGGCACACCAAAACGGCAGACUAGCCCCUUGAAGAACUUCACGGCUGAUUGUGCUAUCACCUUUCUCACUGCUUCCACUUCCGGCCACUUCGUGAACUUGUCGAUGGCAACGUACAAGUACUCAAAGCCCCCGACAGCACGGGGAAAGGGGCCCAGUAUGUCGAGCCCCCAGACCGAGAAUGGCCAGGAAAGAUGGAUGUUUUGGAGAGCUUGAGCUGCUUGAUGAAGCUUCUUUGAAUGAAACUGACACGCUUCACACUUAGUUACUAGUGCCGUUGCAUCCUGGAGGGCAGUGGGCCAGAAGAAACCUUGCCGGAAUGCCUUGCCGUCAAGGGCUCUCGACCCUAUGUGGGAGCCACAUAUGCCUCUGUGUAUCUCUGCCAACAGCUCCAGUCCGUCCUCCCGGGGAAUGCACUUCAAUCUCAAACCGUUUGGUCUUUUUCUGUACAAAAUGUCGUCAACGAAUUGGUACAUGGCAGACCGACGGGCUACUUUCUGCGCUUCUUCCUGCUCCCCAGGGAGCUUCCCUGUUUGGAGAAAUCGAACGGUAUGUUGUGCCCAUGCCGGAGCCUGAGGCUCGACGGCAAGGACUAAAGGCAUCUCUUCUGCUGUGGGAGCGGUCGUCUCUAUGGCAAGGGCUUGAGGCCCUGCCGGAGACUGUUGCUCCUCGGCAAUCUUAGUGUCUCCGGCAACAUCCUUGCCGGCGGCUCCUGGGAGCUCGACGGGAAAGUACUUGCCGGGGCUCAACUUCCUUCGCUUAUCCUGCCUUGCCGAUGGUUCCACGGACGGCUUAGUUAGUUGGAGCACAAAGGUCCCUAGUUCCACAGGUAACUUUAAGCCAGCACGUUUUGACAGGUCCUCAGCAAUGUUGUUCUCUGCUCGAGGAACAUGCUCUGCUUGCAGACCGUCAAAACGUUCCUCCAACUUUCUCACUUGAUCUACGUAGGCCUCCAUCAACGGGCUAUGAUAAUCUUUGUUGGCUUGACGACAAGCUGUGAGUCACCUCUGACGAUGAACUUCCUUAUUCCGAGGUCCGCCGCAAUCCUGAGACCGGCAAGCAGCCCUUCGUACUCAGCGGUGUUGUUCGUUGACCUCUCCCUGGGAAAGUGCAUCUGGACUACAUACUUGAGGUGCUCUCCGGUGGGUGCAACAAGCAGCACACCAGCACCGGCGCCUUGCAGCGAGAAAGCCCAUCAAAGUACAUAAUCCAGUCGCGACUUGUUUCCUUGCCGAGGAGAGUAGUCUCUUGAACCUCUUCGUCGGGUGUCGAGGUCCAUUCCGCAAUGAACUCCGCCAAGACUCUACUCCGAAUUGUUGUAGUACUCUCAAACUUCGUACCAAAGCUCGACAGUUCCAAUGCCCAUUCCACAAUCCUCCCGGUUGCAUCUUAGUUGGGUAAGAUCCUUUGCAACGGGAGGCGGGUGACGACGGUGAUCUCAUGUGCUUGAAAAUAAUGACGCAACUUCCUCGAGGCCAUAAGGAGGCCGAAGAGCAAUUUCUGCACACCGGAGUACCUUGAUCUAGCCCCCUGCAGGAGGGAACUAACAAAGUAAUCUGGGUGCUGCAUCAUCUUCUUCUUCUGUACCACUUCAUUUGCUUGUGCCGUUUUCGCCCCGCCGGCAUCAGACUCUGCCGGGGGUCCUGUCGGUGUCAAAACCGGCGGAUCUCGGGUAGGGGGUCCCGAACUGUGCGUCUAAGGCGGAUGGUAACAGGAGGCGGGGGACACGAUGUUUACCCAGGUUCGGGCCCUCUCGAUGGAGGUAAUACCCUACUUCCUGCUUGAUUGAUCUUGAUGAUAUGAGUAUUACAAGAGUUGAUCUACCACGAGAUCGUAGAGGCUAAACCCUAGAAGCUAGCCUAUGGUAUGAUUGUUGUUGUCCUACGGACUAAACCCUCCAGUUUAUAUAGACACUGGAGGGGGCUAGGGUUACACAGAGUCGGUUACAAGGGAGGAGAUCUACAUAUCCGUAUUGCCAAGCUUGCCUUCCACGGCAAGGAGAGUCCUAUCCAGACACGGGACGAAGUCUUCAAUCUUGUAUCUUCAUAGUCCAACAGUCCGGCUAAAGUAUAUAGUCCGGCCGUUCGAGGACCCCCUAAUCCAGGACUCCCUCAGUAGCCCCUGAACCAGGCUUCAAUGACGAUGAGUCCGGCGCACAGAUUUGUCUUCGGCAUUGCAAGGCGGGUUCUUCCUCCGAAUACUCCAUAGAAGAUCUUGAACACAAGGACAGUGUCCGGCUCUGCAAAACAAAUUCCACAUACCACCGUAGAGAGAAUGAUAUUUCCACAAAUCUAAUCUGCUGACACAUUCGGCAGCAUGACAUCAUACCACGGCCCGGUCAUUAUUCGAACCGUUUUUCUCAACCAGCUAUUGCACAUAUUGCGAGGAGGUUUUCUUGGCACGUCUUGUUGAAGCAGAGAUCGUGUCCCCUUAUCACGGGAUUCUCAUCAAUACGGAUGUGGGUAACCCAACCGCGCCAUCAAUUACGACGCUUGGGGAAUAAGCGAGUUUUAGUAGGCAGGUGGGGAGGCGUAUAGUUUCUUCCGCCCUUAUAAAGGGACAAGGAUUCCUCUUUUUACCCACGCCUUCUUCCUCCUUGCUCACCCAUUCGUGCGCACUCGAGCUCCAGCACGCAGGUUCACGUUUUUCUCCUCAAACCACUCCAAGCAUGUCCGGAGCAGGAGGCAAGUGGAUGGUCUCCUCCGUCACGGAGGAGAACAUCACAAAGCUACGGGGAGCUGGAUAUCUGGCCGCGGACAUCGCACACUGGCUGCCAGAUGCGGGGCAGAUCAUCCCUACUCCAGAACCCCAUGAGAGGAUGGUUUUUCUUACCCACUUCGUCCGUGGACUGGGAUUUCCCCUCCACCCGUUUGUCCGCAGGCUCAUGUUCUAUUAUGGGAUGGAUUUUCACGACCUGGCCCCCAAUUUCAUCCUCAACAUCUCGGCGUUUAUCGUCGUGUGCGAGGCCUUCCUCCACAUCAAGCCCCACUUCGGCCUGUGGCUGAAGACCUUCAAUGUUAAGCCGAAGGUGGUGGUCGGCCAGCAAGCAAAGUGCGGAGGCGCCAUGGUGGGCAAAAUGCCUAACGUCACCUGGCUCAAAGGCUCCUAUGUGGAGACCAUAAAGGGGUGGCAAUCGGGGUGGUUCUACAUCACCGAGCCGCACGACACCAACUGGGUGGCGGCCCCCGAAUUCCGAUCCGGAAUCCCCACGCGGCUCACCUCCUGGAAAGAGAAGGGCCUGUCCUGGGGUUCCUCGGUAGAGCUGACCGGACUCCAGACAUGCAUCAAAAACAUGAUGAGCAAGAAAAUCAAGCUUGUCAACGUGGUCCAGGUCAUACUCUUCCACCGGAUCCUCCCGUGUCAAUGACGGGCAUUCAAUUUGUGGGAGUUCGACCCGGCCGAGCACCAGACGCUGUGAGAGCUCUUCGACACGACGCACAAGGACGUCUGGAAGGUGCUGUUCAAGGGCGCCGAGGUACCUCCUCCCCUUACCGAGGACCGCGGACUCAGCGCAAAGCGCCCUGCCAAUCCGGUAAGUUUUUUUAUAUCUCAUAAGAUGUUUAUUUUCCCCAGUUUAACCAUGUGCGGGAUCUAAGCCUCCACGCUAUUUAACAGGACUGGGUAGAGACAUCGGAGCAGAUUGAUUGCCCAGCCCCCCUUCCUGAAGAUCCAGCAGAUGCUCUCCUAACGGAGAUGCUGGUUCCGGCGCCUUACAAGGUGCCGGUGAAGAAGGCCAAGAAGAAGGCCACGGGGACCCGGAAGGGUCUCCGGCGCAAGGUUAUAUCGGACUCAUCGUUCGAAAACAUCGAGGCGUACUCCUCCCACGAAAACGAGGAGGAGGAAGAGGAAAGUUCUCCCCCCCAGCCGGUGGAGACAAGAAAAGGAAGGCCGCCCCAUCCGGGGAGGCCAAAGGGUCCAAGAAGGGAAGGACCCUCCUCCUGGACUGCUCCACGACGGCCGCCUAUAGCGACGACGAGUGGUUGCCCAGGGACAAGCCCCUGGCGAAGUCGUAAGUAUCCGGAUACCAUAGUAAUUCAUGGUAUGUUUUAUUGUACUGCCUCUCAUCACGCUGAACAUGAUUAUGCAGUCCGUCCUGAGCCCGCAUCGACGUAUCUUUGUCGGAUGAUUCUUUGGGCCUAUCGGACCUGAGCAGUGAUUCUCUCCCUACCGCCUUCUCCCCCCGCCCUACGGACAACGCCGAGGUGUUGUCCCAAAGGGAACUGAACCAGGGGGGACAGUUCCGGAGGCGCCUCAAGGCGACAUUCCGGGCGCUGGGCGCACGAGGGGCAAGACUCCCCCGGGCCCUAACGCCGGGGGCAGCAAGUCUAGCCCCAAUCCGAAUACGGUGCCGGAACCUCCAGUGGUUCCUGAUUCUGUCAGGCAACCCCUCGCUAAGAGGGGCAAGCUGUCUGUGUCGGUGGCCUCUGUCCAUCUAGAGGCACCGGACAACUUGCUGGAAGCGCUUCACGGCGCUUCCAUCGACGAAGAGCACCGCACUAUCAUGAGUGCGGUGAUCGAGAAGGUUCAGUCCGCCAAAAGCGGGCUAACUGAAGCCUGUGCCAGCCUCCUAACAGGCUUUCAGGAAAGUAAUCAAAUUAUAAGAAAAUAUUACCGCAUAGACAGUAGCCCCUGAUGCUCUGUUUGGCGUUCGCGAAGAAAGGCCGAAUAGAGGAUCAAAUAAUGACCGCAGGAGUCUAAUCAGAAUAUGUCUAUGUGCAUAUGCAGGCUUCAUUGCUGGCCGCUGCCGCACGCACUGCGGAGGUCGCUGCACUGAAGCAGGACCUUGAGUGGUCCAAGGAAGAGCUCGGCCUUACCAAGAGGCAGCUCGAAGAGAACAAAGGUAAGCGAUACCCCGUCUGUAUAUUAAAAAGAAAUUUGGUUGUAAAAUAAUAGGAUCGCCAUGAAUGUUGCUAGGGGCCACUGUCGAAGUGGCGACCCUUCAGAAGGCGCUAUCCGAGGCCGAAGACAAAGCGGCCAAGGACCGCAUCAAGCGAGAAAAGCAAGAAGCCCGGGUGGGCGAGGUGCAGCAAGAGCUCCAGGCUCUCACCAAAAAACAUGAGUCCUUGGAGCUUGACUCUAAGACGCGAGAGUCCGAGCUUGCGAAGGCCCUCGAAAGCGCACAAAAUGCCAAGGCCGAAGCCCAGAAGGCCCUCUACGAAAUUGAGGCGGUUAAGAAGAUAGCAGCGGGUAAGGCAUUCAUUAUGCAAAGCAAGCAUGUGAAGGAAACUUUCCUUUUACUUACCCGAGUUCGGAGCUCUCCAGGAGCGUUCGCAGAUCUUCCCCGCAGUGUGUUGGAUGCCGUGGAGUUCUACCGGGCUGAGGAGGGGAGCUCGACGGAGAAGUUGUUCUGGUCUCAGUAUACUGGGGCCGAACACCCAAUGCCCUUGAGCGACCAGAUGAAGCAACUGGUCGAGCUCCACAAGGCGGCCGAACAGGCCAUGAAGGGUCUUAUAGCCCGGAUGUGGCCUGGCGAGCCCCUGCCUGAUAGCUACUUCGGUCUCAUGAGGCAGCUUGUGAACGCCUGCCCACGGCUUGAAGUCAUAAAGCGGUCCGUCUGCAUCGAGGGUGCGCGUAGGGCUUUUGCCCGGGCGAAGGUGCACUGGGCGAAGCUGGACGCCGUAAAGCUGGUGAAGGAGGGGCUGCCGGAAGGCAAGGAGCAUCAACACCCCGAAAUGUAUUAUGACAGUGUCCUGAAGGGUUCCCGCCUUGUGGCGGAGGAAUGUGCUAAGGAUGUAAUAUUCGAAUGAAUGUACUCAUGUGAUCCUGUAAUGUGAAACGAGUUCAUUUGUGCUGUGCAACGCUUGUUAAUUUAAAAUAUUACCUUCUGUGCGGUCGUUUAUGAAAUCUGAGGGUUGGCCAGUCGUCGGUUUCUGCCCCCAUGUAACUAGUACUGGGGUGUUCGGGGUAAACCUGAACACUCUUUAUCCCAAUUUUCGGUCCUUCGAAGGAGGUGUUCAGCACAUCGAACCAGGCAAUCGGACUAUAAAGCUUUAUCACCCUCACUUAGCCAUAGAAGUCUACAAUUUUAAAUUUUGGCGAAGCCCCUAGUAUUCGGAAGGCCGAAUUUGGGGCGCUAUAUACGCCUAAGUCGGGCAAGGCCGACUCCUCGCCCGAAGCGGAAAAAGUUUUUAAGGACUUGAGACCUCGUGAACAGCGACCAGCUCUCGCCUCAUCGUGACAGUCAGUUUUCGGCUUUCUCUACUGAGGUGCUCGUCCGGAAGAACCGGGACACAAUCGCAGUAGUUCUCCCAGCGCUACCUUAGCCGAUUUUGCGGAACAUAAGGUACCAAAACAUGGGAGCCGGGCAAACCCAACUAUCGACCCAAGACAUGAUUCGGAGCUGAUGCAUAUAAUGCUAUAAGUUCGGGGUGCCGCACUGUCGAAAGUGUUCGGACUUCUCACGCCGUAUUAUGGGGUAUGCUGAAGCCCCUGGCGUACUAGUCGUACUAGAAUGUACGGGUGCAAUCUGUCGUAAUUAAGCAGACAAGAGAAAGAAAAAAAAGAAAGGGUAAUGCAAUAAUAGGCUAACGCUACGCAUUGUUAUUAAAUAGUACGUCAAAGCGUACGGAUACAAGUAGUGCAAUAAGAAAAAAAAAGACUAUUUGACAUGUCCUAUCCAAGGGCAAGCUGCGUAUGGGUAUUUAAAACAGGUAUUUCGAUCGUUAGCAGAGACCACCUGGGGAUUCCCUUGUACGUCAGAGCUUCUUGCUUCCUUGGUAUUUUCUUCUCGUAGUGCAUCCAGCAAUCAGACUACCGAAAAGGGGUUCCAGAGAGUAAGGUCCUGAAAGAGAAAAUGAUGAAGGUAUACGGCUCCUGGGGCGGUUGAGCCGCAUUGUGGGACGUGCCGUAGUGGUGCCUCCGCCGAUGCCCAUGGUAUCUUGAGUGCGUAGUUAUGUACGCGUGGCACGAAUCUCGCCACUUGACUGGGACUAGGACGGAGGCCGAAUUGCUAGUCGAGCUCAAAAUGUGCCUGUCGAUCCGCCUGCGGGGUACUCCGGACUCGCUUGAAGGUGUCCGGGGUCUUUUUCGCCGAAUUGGCGGUUUGCCUAAUAAGGCAGCUUUGCACUUCUGCUGCGAGGGCCGCAGUGUGCUCCUCCGUGCGGAGCGAGCGCUCUGUGUUUCCAUUGACUGUUAUUACCCCACGAGGUCCUGGCAUUUUGAGCUUGAGGUAUGUAUAAUGCGGUACCGCAUUGAAUCUUGCAAAUGCGGUUCGCCCGAGCAGUGCGUGAUAGCCACUACGGAACGGGACGAUAUCGAAGAUUAACUCCUCGCUUCGGAAGUUGUCCGGAGAUCCGAAGACCACAUCCAGUGUGAUUGAGCCCGUGCAAUGGGCCUCUACACCUGGGAUGACGCCUUUAAAGGUGGUUUUAGUGGGUUUGAUCCUCGAGGGGUCUAUACCCAUUUUACGCACUGUAUCCUGAUAGAGCAGGUUCAGGCUGCCGCCGCCGUCCAUAAGGACUCGAGUGAGGUGAAAUCCGUCAAUGAUGGGGUCGAGGACCAAUGCGGCAGAUCCGCCAUGACGGAUACUAGUGGGGUGGUCCCUCGAUCGAAGGUGAUCGGACAAGAGGACCAUGGGUUGAACUUUGGGGCGACAGGCUCCAUCGCAUAGACGUCCCUUAGUGCAUGCUUCCGUUCCCUCUUGGGAAUGUGGGUCGCGUAUAUCAUGUUCACCGUUUUCACUUGUGGGGGGAACCUCUUCUGUCCUCCCGUGUUCGGCGGCCGGGGCUCCUCCUCGUCGUCGCUAUGCAGCCCCUUGUCCUUGUUUUCGGCAUUCAACUUGCCGGCCUGCUUGAACACCCAGCAUUCUCUGUUGGUGUGAUUGGCUGGCUUAUCGGGGGUGCCGUGAAUUUGACAUGAUCGAUCGAGUAUGCGGUCCAAACUGGACGGGCCCGGAGUACCUCUUUUGAAUGGCUUUUUCCGCUGACCGGAUUUAGAGCCACUGAAUCCGGCAUUGACUGCCGUAUCUUCGGCGUUAUCGCCAUUGUUGCGGCGCUUAUGUCUGUUACGACGUGGUCUGUCGUUAGUAUCUUUGGUAGCUGAAGUGCCCGGAUUCCUUGAUGUGUUGUUGCUGCGAGCCAGCCAGCUAUCCUCGCCCGCGCAAAAGCGGGUCAUGAGUGUCGUGAGGGCUGCCAUAGACUUCGGCUUCUCCUGGCCGAGGUGUUGGGCGAGCCACUCGUCACGGAUGUUAUGCUUGAAUGCCGCUAAGGCCUCUGCAUCCGGACAGUCGACAAUUUGGUUUUUCUUAGUUAGGAACCUGGUCCAGAAUUUCCUGGCCGAUUCCCCUGGCUGCUGAAUUAUAUGGCUCAAGUCAUCAGCAGCUGGUGGCCGCACAUAAGUACCCUGGAAGUUGUGAAGGAAUGCAUCUUCCAAAUCCUCCCAACUGCCAAAAUGGAGUCUGCUGGCAAGCUAUUCGGCCAAUGCCGAGCUGGUCCUUUGAGUUUUAGUGGGAGGUACUUGAUGGCAUGUAGAUCAUUACCGCGAGCCAUGUGGAUGUGGAGGAGGAAGUCCUCGAUCCAUACCACGGGGUCUGUUGUACCAUCAUAUGAUUCAAUAUUUACGGGUUUAAAACCCUCUGGGAAUUCGUGAUCCAUUAUUUCAUCAGUGAAGCAUAGGGGGUGUGCGGCGCUGAUACGUCUCCAACGUAUCUAUAAUUUUUGAUUGCUCCAUGCUAUAUUAUAGGGGGUGUGAAGCAUAGGAAGUGUGAGUAGUUUACCUCAGACCUUCGGGUCCAUAGUUAGUAGCUAGAUGGCUUCUUCUCUCUUUUUGGAUCUCAAUACAAUGUUCUCCCCCUCUCUCAUGGAGAUCUAUUCGAUGUAAUCUUCUUUUUGCGGUGUGUUUGUUGAGACCGAUGAAUUGUGGGUUUAUGAUCAAGAUUAUCUAUGAACAAUAUUUGAAUCUUCUCUGAAUUCUUUUAUGUAUGAUUGGUUAUCUUUGCAAGUCUCUUCGAAUUAUAAGUUUGGUUUGGCCUACCAGAUUGAUCUUUCUUGCAAUGGGAGAAGUGCUUAGCUUUGGGUUCAAUCUUGCGGUGUCCUUUCCCAGUGACAGUAGGGGCAGCAAGGCACGUAUUGUAUUGUUGCCAUCGAGGAUAACAAGAUGGGUUUUUUAUCAUAUUGCAUGAAUUUAUCCCUCUACAUCAUGUCAUCUUGCUUAAGGCAUUACUCUGUUUCCAUGAACUUAAUACUCUAGAUGCAUGCUGGAUAGCGGUCGAUGAGUGGAGUAAUAGUAGUAGAUGCAGGCAGGUGUCGGUCUACUUGUCUCGGACGUGAUGCCUAUAUACAUGAUCAUACCUAAAUAUUCUCAUAACUAUGCUCAAUUCUGUCAAUUGCUCAACAGUAAUUCGUUCACCCACCGUAAAAUACUUAUGCUCUUGAGAGAAGCCACUAGUGAAACCUAUGGCCCCCGGGUCUAUCUUCAUCAUAUUAAUCUUCCAACACUUAGUUAUUUCCUUUGCUUUUAUUUUACUUUGCAUCUUUAUCACAAAAAUACCAAAAAUAUUAUCCUAUCAUAUCUAUCAGAUCUCACUCUCGUAAGUGACCGUGAAGGGAUUGACAACCCCUUAUCGCGUUGGUUGCGAGGAUUUAUUUGUUUUGUGUAGGUGCGAGGGACUCGGGCGUAGCCUCCUACUGGAUUGAUACCUUGGUUCUAAAAAACUGAGGGAAAUACUUAUGCUAGUUUGCUGCAUCACCCUUUCCUCUUCAAGGGAAAACCAACGCAGUGCUCAAGAGGUAGCAAGAAGGAUUUCUGGCGCCGUUGCCGGGGAGGUCUACGCAAAAGUCAACAUACCAAGUACCCAUCACAAAUCCCUUAUCUCCCGCAUUACAUUAUUUGCCAUUUGCCUCUCGUUUUCCUCUCCCGCACUUCACCCUUGCCGUUUUAUUCGCCCUCUCUUUUUCAUUCACCUCUUUUUCGCUUGCUUGUCGUUAUGGCUAGUCCUCUAUCUUCUCCGUUGUCUCCCGAGGAUGAAGUUCUAAAUUUUAAACAAAGGGAGGGAGAAAAUCUAAAAGAUUCUUGGUAUAGAAUUUGCAAUGCUCAAAAUAGAUAUGCCAGGAAGCAAUCUACUUCCGUUCUUCUCCGCAAUUUUUAUGUAGGCGCUAAUCCUUGGUAUAGAUAUAUUCUUGAUACCAUUACCGGAGGGAAUUUCUUGGGUAGCCAUACUUUUGACUCUUAUAAUGCUAUGAUAGAUUUAUUUGGCUCACCACCUCUUUUGGUUAAUGGAACUAUGUUAACUUUGGAGCAUGUAAUGCAAAGACUUGAAAUUAUUGAAAAUAAAGUUGCUACCGUAGAGUUAAUUGAAAAUCUGGAUAAAAAGAUCCACAACCAAAUUACCCAAUAUGGAUCUAAGGUAGGAUUCACUUUGAAAAAUAUUAAGGAGAAGGAACCCAUAGUUAAUGAGAGAAUAAAUCAAGAUUCCACUAGAAUCGAUAAACUUGAGGGUAUCAUUACCAACUUGGGAACCAAUUUUUCUUCUGUAAAGAAUACUCCAAAUCCUCCUACUAAAAUUCCCAAGCUUAUGUAUGUUCCUAAAAAUAAGGGUGAAUCCUCUAGUAAGGAAACUGCGGAUCUCAAAUCUAUAAGUAUUCAUCCCAAUCUUUUUGCCUUCAUUAAGGAACCAUUUGCUACGAAUGAAGUUUUCGAUCUUGUGCCUAAAAGUUUGAUAAUUACUAAAAAUAAAGAAAUUCCUAAGGAUGAUAGAUGUCUCAUUGAAGAAUUGCCUACCAAAGAUGGCAAUACCUAGAUCUAUCCUUGCUUUUAUGCCUAACUAGGGGCGUUAAACGAUAGCGCUUGUUGGGAGGCAACCCAAUUUUAUUUUUAGUUUUUUGCUUUUUGCUUCUGUUUAGGAAUAAAUAUUUGAUCUAGCCUCUGGUUAGAUGUGUUUUUAUGUUUCAAUUAGUGUUUGUGCCAAGUUAAACCUAUAGGAUCUUCUUGGAUGAUAGUUAUUUGAUCUUGCUGUAAUUUCCAGAAACUUUCUGUUCACAAAAAUAAUUGUUAAAAAUCACCAGAACGUGAUAAAAUAGUGAUUCCAAUUGCUGCUGAUCAAUAAACAAAUUGCCUAGGUCUUCCUAUUUUUGCUGAUUUUUUGGAGUUCCAGAAGUUUGCGUUAGUUACAGAUUACUACAGACUGUUCUGUUUUUGACAGAUUCUGUUUUUCGUGUGUUCUUUGCUUAUUUUGGUGAAUCUAUGGCUAGUAAAAUAGUUUAUAAACCAUAGAGAAGUUGGAAUACAGUAGGUUUAACACCAAUAUAAAUAAAGAAUGGGUUCAUUACAGUACCUUGAAGUGGUCUUUUGUUUUCUUUCGCUAACGGAGCUCACGAGAUUUCUGUUAAGUUUUGUGUUGUGAAGUUUUCAAGUUUUGUGUUGUGAAGUUUUCAAGUUUUGGGUGAAAGAUUUUUGAUGGAUUAUGGAACAAGGAGUGGCUAGAGCCUAAGCUUGGGGAUGCCCAUGGCACCCCCAAGAUAAUCUAAGGACACCAUAAAGCCAAAGCUUGGGGAUGCCCCGGAAGGCAUCCCCUCUUUCGUCUACUUCCAUCGGUAACUUUACUUGGAGCUAUAUUUUUAUUCACCACAUGAUAUGUGUUUUGCUUGGAGCGUCUUGUAUGAUUUGAGUCUUUGCUUUUUAUUUUACCACAAUCAUCCUUGCUGUACACACCUUUUGAGAGAGCCAAACAUGAUUUGGAAUUUUGUUAGAAUACUCUAUGUGAUUCGCUUAUAUCUUUUGAGUUAUAUAGUUUUGCUCUAGUACUUCACUUAUAUCUUUUAGAGCACGGUGGUGGAUUUGUUUUAUAGAAACUAUUGAUCUCUCAUGCUUCACUUAGAUUAUUUUGAGAGUCUUAUAUAGCAUGGUAAUUUGCUUAAAUAAUCCUAAUAUGCUUGGUAUUCAAGAUUAGUAAAAACUUUCUUAUGAGUGUGUUGAAUGCUAAGAAAAGUUUGAUGCUUGAUAAUUGUUUUGAGAUAUAAAGAUGGUGAUAUUAGAGUCAUGCUAGUUGAGUAGUUGUGAAUUUGAGAAAUACUUGUGUUAAAGUUUGUGAUUCCCGUAGCAUGCACGUAUGGUGAACCAUUAUGUGAUGAAGUCGGAGCAUGAUUUAUUUAUUGAUUGUCUUCCUUAUGAGUGGCGGUCGGGGACGAGCGAUGGUCUUUUCCUACCAAUCUAUCCCCCUAGGAGCAUGCGCGUAAUACUUUGCUUUGAUAACUUGUACAUUUUUGCAAUAAGUAUAUGAGUUCUUUAUGACUAAUGUUGAGUCCAUGGAUUAUACGCACUUUCUUCCUUCCACCAUUGCUAGCCUCUCUAAUACCACGCUCUUUUCGCCGGUAUCAUACACCCACCAUAUACCUUCCUCAAAACAGCCACCAUACCUACCUAUCAUGGCAUUUCCAUAGCCAUUCCGAGAUAUAUUGCCAUGCAACUUUCCACCGUUCCGUUUAUUAUGACACGCUCCAUCAUUGUCAUAUUGCUUUGCAUGAUCAUGGAGUUGACAUCGUAUUUGUGGCAAAGCCACCGUUCAUAAUUCUUUCAUACAUGUCACUCUUGAUUCAUUGCAUAUCCCGGUACACCGCCGGAGGCAUUCAUAUAGAGUCAUAUUUUGUUCUAAGUAUCGAGUUGUAAUUGUUGAGUUGUAAGAAAAUAAAAGUGUGAUGAUCUUCAUUUUUAGAGCAUUGUCCCAAGUGAGGAAAAGGAUGAUGGAGACUAUGAUUCCCCCACAAGUCAGGAUGAGACUCCGGACGAAAAAAAGAGGCCAUAAAAACAAAGAGAAAAGGCCCAAAUAAAAAAAUGAGAGAAAAAGAUAGAAGGGACAAGGUUACUAUCCUCUUACCACACUUGUGCUUCAAACUAGCACCAUGAUCUUCAUGAUAGAGAGUCUCUCAUUUUGUCACUUUCAUAUACUAGUGGGAAUUUUUCAUUAAUAGUGUUGGAAAUAUGCCCUAGAGGCAAUAAUAAAAUGGUUAUUAUUAUAUUUAUUUGUUCAUGAUAAUUGUCUAUUGUUCAUGCUAUAAUUGUGUUAUCCGGAAAUCGUAAUACAUGUGUGAAUACAUAGACCACAACGUGUCCCUAGUAAGCCUCUAGUUGACUAGCUCGUUGAUCAACAGAUAGUCAUGGUUUCCUGACUAUGGACAUGCUUUACAGCUUAGAACCGGGGCUCCAAAAGCGUUUUGAGAAACAUGGAGCAUAUGAGAUGUUCGAAGAGCUGAAAAUGGUUUUCCAAGCUCAUGCCCGGGUCGAGAGAUAUGAAGUCUCCGACAAGUUCUUCAGCUGUAAAAUGGAGGAGAAUAGUUCUGUCAGUGAGCACAUACUCAGAAUGUCUGGGUUACACAACCGCUUGUCUCUGCUGGGAGUUAAUCUCCCGGAUGACGCGGUCAUUGACAGAAUCCUUCAGUCGCUUCCACCAAGCUACAAGAGCUUUGUGAUGAACUUCAAUAUGCAGGGGAUGGAGAAGACCAUUCCUGAGGUAUAUUCAAUGCUGAAAUCAGCGGAGGUGGAGAUCAAAAAGGAACAUCAAGUGUUGAUGGUGAAUAAAACCACUAAGUUCAAGAAAGGCAAGGGUAAGAAGAACUUCAAGAAGGACGGCAAGGGAGUUGCCGCGCCCGGUAAGCCAGUUGCCGGGAAUAAGUCAAAGAUUGGACCCAAGCCUGAGACUGAGUGCUUUUAUUGCAAGGGAAGUGGUCACUGGAAGCGGAACUGCCCCAAAUACUUAGCGGACAAGAAGGCCGGCAAUACCAAAGGUAUAUGUGAUAUACAUGUAAUUGAUGUGUACCUUACCAGUACUCGUAGUAGCUCCUGGGUAUUUGAUACCGGUGCGGUUGCUCAUAUUUGUAACUCAAAACAGGAACUGCGGAAUAAGCGGAGACUGGCAAAGGACGAGGUGACGAUGCGCCUCGGGAAUGUAUCCAAGGUCGAUGUGAUCGCCGUCGGCACGCUGCCUCUACAUUUACCUACGGGAUUAGUUUUAAACCUCAAUAAUUGUUAUUUAGUGCCAGCUUUGAGCAUGAACAUUGUAUAUGGAUCUCGUUUAAUUCAAGAUGGCUACUCAUUUAAAUCCGAGAAUAAUGGUUGUUCUAUUUAUAUGAGAGAUAUGUUUUAUGGUCAUGCCCCGCUGGUCAAUGGUUUAUUCUUGAUGAAUCUCGAACGUGAUGUUACACAUAUUCAUAGUGUGAAUACCAAAAGAUGUAAAGUUGAUAACGAUAGUCCCACAUACUUGUGGCACUGCCGCCUUGGUCACAUUGGUGUCAAACGCAUGAAGAAGCUCCAUGCAGAUGGACUUUUGGAGUCUCUUGAUUACGAAUCAUUUGACACGUGCGAACCAUGCCUCAUGGGUAAGAUGACCAAGACUCCGUUCUCCGGAACAAUGGAGCGAGCAACCAACUUAUUGGAAAUCAUACAUACCGAUGUGUGCGGUCCAAUGAGUGUUGAGGCUCGCGGAGGAUAUCGUUAUGUUCUCACUCUCACUGAUGACUUAAGUAGAUAUGGGUAUGUCUACCUAAUGAAACACAAGUCUGAAACCUUUGAAAAGUUCAAGGAAUUUCAGAGUGAGGUAGAGAAUCAACGUGACGGGAAAAUAAAGUUCUUACGAUCAGAUCAUGGUGGAGAAUAUUUAAGUCACGAAUUUGGCGCACACUUAAGGAAAUGUGGAAUCGUUUCACAACUCACGCCGCCUGGAACACCUCAGCGAAAUGGUGUAUCCGAACGUCGUAAUCGCACUCUAUUGGAUAUGGUGCGAUCUAUGAUGUCUCUUACCGAUCUACCGCUCUCAUUUUGGGGCUAUGCUUUAGAGACUGCCGCACUCACUUUAAAUAGGGCUCCGUCGAAAUCCGUUGAGACGACACCGUAUGAAUUAUGGUUUGGGAAGAAACCUAAGCUGUCGUUUCUAAAAGUUUGGGGAUGCGAUGCUUAUGUCAAGAAACUUCAACCUGAAAAGCUCGAACCCAAGUCGGAAAAAUGCAUCUUCAUAGGAUACCCUAAGGAAACCAUUGGGUAUACCUUCUACCUCAGAUCCGAAGGCAAGAUCUUUGUUGCCAAGAACGGGUCCUUUCUGGAGAAAGAGUUUCUCUUGAAAGAAUUGAGUGGGAGGAAAGUGGAACUUAAUGAGGUGAUAGUCACCCCUUCCGAACCGGAAAGUAGCGCAGCGCGGGAAGAUAUUCCUGUGGUGCCUGCACCGACUAGGGAGGAAGUUAAUGAUGAUGAUCAUGAAGCUUCGGAUCAAGUUACUGCUGAAUUUCGUAGGUCCACAUGGACACGUUCCGCACCAGAGUGGUACGGCAACCCUGUCCUGGAAAUCAUGUUGUUAGACAACGGUGAACCUUCGAACUAUGAAGAAGCGAUGGCGGGCCCGGAUUCCGACAAAUGGCUAGAAGCCAUGAAAUCCGAGAUAGGAUCCAUGUAUGAAAACGAAGUAUGGACUUUGACUGACUUGCCCGAUGAUCGGCGAGCCAUACAAAAUAAAUGGAUCUUUAAGAAGAAGACAGACGUGGAUGGUAAUGUGACCAUCUACAAGGCUCGACUUGUCCCUAAGGGUUAUCGACAAGUUCAAGGGGUUGACUACGAUGAGACUUUCUCACCCGUAGCGAAGCUGAAGUCCGUCCGAAUCAUGUUAGCAAUUGCCGCAUUCUAUGAUUAUGAGAUAUGGCAAAUGGACGUCAAAACGGCAUUCCUUAACGGCUUUCUUAAGGAAGAAUUGUAUAUGAUGCAGCCGGAUGGUUUUGUCGAUCCUAAGAAUGCUAACAAGGUAUGCAAGCUCCAGCGCUCCAUCUAUGGGCUGGUGCAAGAAUCUCGGAGUUGGAACAUUCGUUUUGAUGAGAUGAUCAAAGCGUUUGGGUUUACACAGACUUAUGGAGAAGCCUGUGUUUACAAGAAAGUGAGUGGGAGCUCUGUAGAAUUUCUCAUAUUAUAUGUGGAUGACAUACUAUUGAUGGGAAAUGAUAUAGAAUUCUUGGAAAGUAUAAAGGCCUAUUUGAAUAAGUGUUUUUCAAUGAAGGACCUUGGAAAGCUGCUUAUAUAUUAGGCAUCAAGAUCUAUAGAGAUAGAUCAAGACGCCUCAUUGGUCUUUCACAGAGUACGUACCUUGACAAGAUAUUGAAGAAGUUCAAUAUGGAUCAGUCCAAGAAGGGGUUCUUGCCUGUAUUGCAAGGUGUGCAAUUGAGCACGGCUCAAUGCCCGACCACGGCAGAAGAUAGAGAAAAGAUGAGUGUCAUCCCCUAUGCCUCGGCCAUAGGGUCUAUUAUGUAUGCCAUGCUGUGUACCAGACCUGAUGUAAACCUUGCCGUAAGUUUGGUAGGUAGGUACCAAAGUAAUCCCGGCAUGGAACACUGGACAGCGGUCAAGAACAUCCUGAAGUACCUGAAAAGGACUAAGGAUAUGUUUCUCGUAUAUGGAGGUGACGAAGAGCUCGUCGUAAAGGGUUACGUCGACGCUAGCUUCGACACAGAUCUGGAUGACUCUAAGUCACAAACCGGAUACGUGUAUAUUUUGAAUGGAGGGGCAGUAAGCUGGUGCAGUUUCAAGCAAAGCGUCAUGGCGGGAUCUACUUGUGAAGCGGAGUACAUGGCGGCCUCAGAGGCAGCACAGGAAGCAGUCUGGAUAAAUGAGUUCAUUACCGACCUAGGGGUGAUUCCCAAUGCGUCGGGCCCGAUGACUCUCUUCUGUGACAACACUGGAGCUAUUGCCCUUGCCAAGGAGCCCAGGUUUCACAGGAAGACCAGGCAUAUCAAGCGUCGCUUCAACUCCAUUCGUGAAAGUGUUCAAAAUGGAGACAUAGAUAUUUGUAAAGUACAUACGGACCUGAAUGUAGCAGAUCCGUUGACUAAACCUCUCCCUAGAGCAAAACAUGAUCAACACCAGAACUCUAUGGGUGUUCGAUUCAUCACAAUGUAACUAGAUUAUUGACUCUAGUGCAAGUGGGAGACUGUUGGAAAUAUGCCCUAGAGGCGAUAAUAAAAUGGUUAUUAUUAUAUUUCUUUGUUCAUGAUAAUUGUCUAUUGUUCAUGCUAUAAUUGUGUUAUCCGGAAAUCGUAAUACAUGUGUGAAUACAUAGACCACAACGUGUCCCUAGUAAGCCUCUAGUUGACUAGCUCGUUGAUCAACAGAUAGUCAUGGUUUCCUGACUAUGGACAUUGGAUGUCAUUGAUAACGGGAUCACAUCAUUAGGAGAAUGAUGUGAUGGACAAGACCCAAUCCUAAGCAUAGCACAAAGAUCGUGUAGUUCGUUUGCUAGAGCUUUUCCAAUGUCAAGUAUCAUUUCCUUAGACCAUGAGAUCGUGCAACUCCCGGAUGCCGUAGGAGUGCUUUGGGUGUACCAAACAUCACAACGUAACCGGGUGACUAUAAAGGUGCACUACGGGUAUCUCCGAAAGUGUCUGUUGGGUUGGCACGGAUCGAGACUGGGAUUUGUCACUCCGUAUGACGGAGAGGUAUCUCUGGGCCCGCUCGGUAAUGCAUCAUCAUAAUGAGCUCAAUGUGACUAAGGAGUUAGCCACGGGAUCAUGCAUUACGGUACGAGUAAAGUGACUUGCCGGUAACGAGAUUGAACAAGGUAUUGGGAUACCGACGAUCGAAUCUCGGGCAAGUAACGUACCGAUUGACAAAGGGAAUUGUUUACGGGAUUGAUUGAAUCCUCGACAUCGUGGUUCAUCCGAUGAGAUCAUCGUGGAACAUGUAGGAGCCAACAUGGGUAUCCAGAUCCCGCUGUUGGUUAUUGACCAGAGAGGCGUCUCGGUCAUGUCUGCAUGUCUCGCGAACCCGUAGGGUCUACACACUUAAGGUUCGGUGACGCUAGGGUUGUAGAGAUAUUAGUAUGCGGAAACCCGAAAGUUGUUCGGAGUCCCGGAUGAGAUCCCGGACGUCACGAGGAGUUACGGAAUGGUCCGGAGGUGAAGAAUUAUAUAUAGGAAGUCCAGUUUCGGCCACCGGGAAAGUUUCGGGGGUUAUCGGUAUUGUACCGGGACCACCGGAAGGGUCCCGGGGGUCCACCGGGUGGGGCCACCUAUCCCGGAGGGCCCCAUGGGCUGAAGUGGGAAGGGAACCAGCCCUUAGUGGGCUGGGGCGCCCCCCCUUGGGCCUCCCCCUGCGCCUAGGGUUGGAAACCCUGGGGGUGGGGGCGCCCCACUUGGCUUGGGGGGGAAGCCACCCCCCCUUCCCCCUUGGCCGCCGCCCCCUUGGAGAUCUGAUCUCCCAGGGCCGGCCCCCCCCAGGGGGCCUAUAUAUAGUGGGGGGAGGGAGGGCAGCAGCACCACAGCCCCUGGCGCCUCCCUCUCCCCCUGCAACACCUCUCCCUCCCGCUUGCGCUUGGCGAAGCCCUGCCGGGAUCCCCGCUACUUCCACCACCACGCCGUCGUGCUGCUGGAUCUCCAUCAACCUCUCCUUCCCCCUUGCUGGAUCAAGAAGGAGGAGAUGUCGCUGCUCCGUACGUGUGUUGAACGCGGAGGUGCCGUCCGUUCGGCACUCGGUCAUCGGUGAUUUGGAUCACGGCGAGUACGACUCCAUCAACCCCGUUCACUUGAACGCUUCCGCUCGCGAUCUACAAGGGUACGUAGAUGCACUCCUUUCCCCUCGUUGCUAGUAUACUCCAUAGAUGGAUCUUGGUGAUGCGUAGCAAAUUUUAAAAUUCUGCAACGAUCCCCAACAAAUAGAACUUGGCUUGUAUAUUCCAAUGAUGGGCUUCCUCAAAAUGCCCUAGGUCUUUGUGAGCAAGCGAGUUGGAUGCACACCCACUUAGUUUCUUUUGUUGAGCUUUCAUAUACUUAUAGCUCUAGUGCAUCUGUUGCAUGGCAAUCCCUACUCACUCACAUUGAUAUCUAUUGAUGGGCAUCUCCAUAGCCCGUUGAUACGCCUAGUUGAUGUGAGACUAUCUUCUCCCUUUUUGUCUUCUCCACAACCACCAUUCUAUUCCACAUAUAGUGCUAUAUCCAUGGCUCACGCUCAUGUAUUACGUGAAGAUUGAAAAAGUUUGGGAACGUCAAAAGUAUGAAACAAUUGCUUGGCUUGUCAUCGGGGUUGUGCGUGAUUUAAAUACUUUGUGUGGUGAAGAUAGAGCAUAGCCAGACUAUAUGAUUUUGUAGGGAUAACUUUCUUUGGCCAUGUUAUUUUGAGAAGACAUGAUUGCUUUGUUAGUAUGCUUGAAGUAUUAUUAUUUUUUGUCAAUAUUAAACUUUUGUCUUGAAUCUUUUGGAUCUGAAUAUUCAUUCCACAAUUAAGAAGAAUUACAUUGAGAUUAUGCCAAGUAGCACUCCGCAUCAAAAAUUCUGUUUUUAUCAUUUACCUACUCGAGGACGAGCAGGAAUUAAGCUUGGGGAUGCUUGAUACGUCUCCAACGUAUCUAUAAUUUUUGAUUGCUCCAUGCUAUAUUAUCUACUGUUUUGGACAUUAUUGGGCUUUAUUAUUCACUUUUAUAUUAUUUUUGGGGCUAACCUAUUAACCGGAGGCCCAGCCCAGAAUUGUUGUUUUUUGCCUAUUUCAGAGUUUCGCAGAGAAGGAAUAUCAAACGGAGUCCAAACGGAAUGAAACCUUCGGGAACGUGAUUUUUAGGAAGAAUAUGAUCCAGGAGACUUGGACCCUACGUCAAGAAAUAAAAGAGGAGGCCACGAGGUAGGGGGCGCGCCCACCCCCUAGGGCGCACCCUCCACCCUCGUGGGGCCCCUGUUGCUCCACCGACAUACUCCUUCCUCCUAUAUAUACCUACGUACCCCCAAACGAUCAGAUACGGAGCCAAAAACCUAAUUCCACCGCCGCAACCUUCUGUACCCACGAGAUCCCAUCUUGGGGCCUGUUCCGGAGCUCCGCCGAAGGGGGCAUCCAUCAGGAGGGCUUCUACAUCAACGCCAUAGCCUCUCCGAUGAAGUGUGAGUAGUUUACCUCAGACCUUUAGUAGCUAGAUGGCUUCUUCUCUCUUUUUGGAUCUCAAUACAAUGUUCUCCCCCUCUCUCGUGGAGAUCUAUUCGAUGUAAUCUUCUUUUUGCGGUGUGUUUGUUGAGAUCGAUGAAUUGUGGGGUUUAUGAUCAAGAUUAUCUAUGAACAAUAUUUGAAUCUUUUCUGAAUUCUUUUAUGUAUGAUUGGUUAUCUUUGCAAGUCUCUUCGAAUUAUCAGUUUGGUUUGGCCUACUAGAUUGAUCUUUCUUGCAAUGGGAGAAGUGCUUAGCUUUGGGUUCAAUCUUGCGGUGUCCUUUCCCAGUGACAGUAGGGGCAGCAAGGCACGUAUUGUAUUGUUGCCAUCGAGGAUAACAAGAUGGUUUUUUAUAUCAUAUUGCAUGAAUUUAUCCCUCUACAUCAUGUCAUCUUGCUUAAGAUGUUACUCUGUUUCUAUGAACUUAAUACUCUAGAUGCAUGCUGGAUAGCGGUCGAUGAGUGGAGUAAUAGUAGUAGAUGCAGGCAGGAGUCAGUCUACUUGUCUCGGACGUGAUGCCUAUAUACAUGAUCAUACCUAGAUAUUCUCAUAACUAUGCUCAAUUCUGUCAAUUGCUCAACAGUAAUUCAUUCACCCACCGUAAAAUACUUAUGCUCUUGAGAGAAGCCACUAGUGAAACCUAUGGCCCCCGGGUCUAUCUUCAUCAUAUUAAUCUUCCAACACUUAGUUAUUUCCUUUGCUUUUAUUUUACUUUGCAUCUUUAUCACAAAAAUACCAAAAAUAUUAUCCUAUCAUAUCUAUCAGAUCUCACUCUCGUAAGUGACCGUGAAGGGAUUGACAACCCCUUAUCGCGUUGGUUGCGAGGAUUUAUUUGUUUUGUGUAGGUGCGAGGUACUCGGGCAUAGCCUCCUACUGGAUUGAUACCUUGGUUCUCAAAAACUGAGGGAAAUACUUACGCUACUUUGCUGCAUCACCCUUUCCUCUUCAAGGGAAAACCAACGCAGUGCUCAAGAGGUAGCAGGCGCCUCUGUGCCGGGCUAUAUCACGACGCAGUUCAUACGAGUCUUGUCUGCUGUAUUCGGCCCGGCCGGAUUUGCUUUUCGUAUAUCCGGCAUGACGAUCAUCGUCUCGCGUUGGGGCGCGACCCCGUGAUCCGUAGAUCGAUCUUGUAUGCCCUGCUUUGUUUUCCAAUACGUCUCGCAGGUCCCACAUGUUGCCCCGGGCCUUGGUGUUUUCGGUUGAACGGCGGCGGGGUGCGGUCCGGACUUCGGGCUGAUAUGCCUCUCUGUCUCGGCCACGAGGUGGCCGAUCAGCCGCAUCAUACGCUGGUGACGUUGGUUUUAAUGCUUCCUCCUCGAGUCGGGGUAGCAACCUGCUCUUUGGGUAACUCUUGGAGGGGCGUUCGAGUUCGUAUUCCUCGGCCGCAAGGACUUCGGUCCAUCUGUCCGCUAGCAAAUCUUGAUCAGCUCGAAGCUGUUGUUGCUUUUUCUUCAGGCUAUUUGCUGUGGCUAUAAGCCGGCGCUUGAAGCGCUCCUGCUCGACGGGAUCCUCGGGCAGGAUAAAUUCUUCAUCGCCGAGGUUCACCUCGUCUUCGGAGAGAGGCAUGUAAUGUUGUCAUCCUCCGUUUCUUCGUCUGCUGCCUGUUCUGGAGGGCUAGCUUGUUCAUCCUCCCGCUCUAAAUCUGGCUGGAGGGGAUUUUCGUCGUCUUCGGCACUAUCCGGAGUGUUAUUGUCUCUUGCGCCGGUAUCGCUACUUUUGCUAUGGCGGGACUUAGAGCGGCGCCGCUGACGUCGGUGCUUGGGUUGCUUCUUGGAGGGGUCAUCCUCCACUGUCUUAUCACCAUCGCCUUCUUUGGGGGUAUCCACCAUGUAUAUAUCAUAUGAUGAGGUGGCUGUCCGACGCCCUGUAGGCGGUGGUUCCUGCUCGUCUCCUGCAUCGUCGUCCAUACCGUCGAUGUCUUCGGAGUCGAAGUCGAGCAUGUCGGUUAAAUCGUCGACAGUGGCUAUUAAGUGGGUGGUGGGUGGGGAGCGAAUUUCUUCGUUGUCCGCAUCCCAUUCUAGCCGGACAUAGUUCGGCCAAGGUUCUCCUGACAAGGAGAGAGACCUUAAUGAAUUUAGCACAUCGCCAAAAGGCGAGUGCUGAAAGAUAUCCGCGGAGGUAAACUCCAUGAUCGGUGCCCAAUCGGAUUUGAUAGGCACGGACGCAGGCGGCUUGGAGCCUGUGGCCGGGGACGAAUCCAAUGGUUCGGCAACAUGGCUCUCGUAGGAGGUGGAGUCAGUAUUCGGCUCUAUCGCCACUGAGAGUGCGGCCUCCGUGGCGGGGUCUAUCCACCCGUCCUCAGAUGGCGCAAUUUGUUCCGGAUUGAGGGCCGAAGUAGUUGCAGGUGUGAUCUCCCGAACACUGUCCGACAGCGGAGUUAAGUCAUGCUCUCGUGAUUAUGCGACGCACCUGACAUGGGCUCGAAUCCGUCGAAGAUCAAGUCUCCGCGGAUGUCGGCAGUAUAGUUCAAGUUUUCGAACCUGACCUGAUGGCCAGGGGCGUAGCUCUCGAUCUGCUCCAGAUGGCCAAGCGAGUUGGCCCGCAGUACGAAGCCGCCGAAUACGAAGAUCUGUCCGGGGAGGAAAACCUCACCCUGGAUCGCAUCGUUGCCAAUGAUCGAAGGAGCCAUCAAGCCUUACGGUGACGGCACAGUGGAACUAUCAAUGAAAGCACCAAUGUCGGUGUCAAAACCCGCGGACCUCGGGUAGGGGGUCCCAAACUAUGCGUCUAAGGUGGAUGGUAACAGGAGGCGGGGGACACGAUGUUUACCCAGGUUCGGGCCCUCUCGAUGGAGGUAAUACCCUACUUCCUGCUUGAUUGAUCUUGAUGAUAUGAGUAUUACAAGAGUUGAUCUACCACGAGAUCGUAGAGGCUAAACCCUAGAAGCUAGCCUAUGGUAUGAUUGUUGUUGUCCUACGGACUAAACCCUCCGGUUUAUAUAGACACCGGAGGGGACUAGGGUUACACAGAGUCGGUUACAAGGGAGGAGAUCUACAUAUCCGUAUUGCCAAGCUUGCCUUCCACGCCAAGGAGAGUCCCAUCCGGACACGGGACGAAGUCUUCAAUCUUGUAUCUUCAUAGUCCAACGGUCCGGCUAAAGUAUAUAGUUCGGCCGUCCGAGGACCCCCUAAUCCAGGACUCCCUCAGGUCCUGCCUUGCCAGCACUAGACCCUGCCGGGGGGGACCCUGGCUCGCCAUCCGUCAACUCCGCCGUUGCUACCACUUCCACAUCGACCUCCCUCUGCGCCACUAGUGCAGUACUGACCACUUGAUUAGUUGCCACUAGAUACAGCAGCAACGGUUCUUAUGGUUUAUGUGCAACUAGUAUUGGCGUAGAGGAGAGGUACCUUUUCAAAUCCUGCAGCGCUGCUUCGGCCUCUGGGGUCCAUUUAAUUGGGCCCGCCUUUUUCAGGAUUUUGAAAAAGGGGAGGGCGCGCUCAGCAGAUUUGGAGAUGAACCUGCUCAGGGCAGCAACAUGAUGUCUACUACGCAACCUUCUUCUUGUAGACGUUGUUGGGCCUCCAAGUGCAGAGGUUUGUAGGACAGUAGCAAAUUUCCCUCAAGUGGAUAACCUAAGGUUUAUCAAUCCGUGGGAGGCGUAGGAUGAAGAUGGUCUCUCUCAAGCAACCCUGCAACCAAAUAGCAAAGAGUCUCUUGUGUCCCCAACACACCCAAUACAAUGUUAAAUUGUAUAGGUGCACUAGUUCGGCGAAGAGAUGGUGAUACAAGUGCAAUAUGGAAGGUAGAUAUAGGUUUUUGUAAUCUGAAAAUAUAAAAACAGCAAGGUAGCAAGCGAUAAAAGUGAGCGUAAACGGUAUUGCAAUGCGUUGAAACAAGGCCUAGGGUUCAUACUUUCACUAGUGCAAGUUCUCUCAACAAUAAUAACAUAAUUGGAUCAUAUAACUAUCCAUCAACAUGCAACAAAGAGUCACUCCAAAGUCACUAAUAGCGGAGAACAAACGAAGAGAUUAUUGUAGGGUACGAAACCACCUCAAAGUUAUUCUUUCGGAUAGAUCUAUUCAAGAGUUCGUACUAGAAUAACACCUUAAGACACAUAUCAACCAAAACCCUAAUGUCACCUAGAUACUCCAAUGUCACCUCAAGUAUCCGUGGGUAUGAUCAUACGGUAUGCAUCACACAAUCUCAGAUUCAUCUAUUCAACCAACACAAAGUACUUCAAAGAGUGCCCCAAAGUUUCUACCGGAGACUCAAGACGAAAACGUGUGCCAACCCCUAUGCAUAAGUUCACAAUGUUACGAAACCCGCAAGUUGAUCACCAAAACAUACAUCAAGUAGAUCACGUGAUAUCCCAUUGUCACCACAGAUAAGCACAUGCAAGACAUACAUCAAGUGUUCUCAAAUCCUUAAAGACUCAAUCCGAUAAGAUAACUUCAAAGGGAAAACUCAAUCCAUUACAAGAGAGUAGAGGGGGAGAAACAUCAUAAGAUCCAACUAUAAUAGCAAAGCUCGCGAUACAUCAAGAUCGUACCAUCUCAAGAACACGAGAGAGAGAGAGAUCAAACACAUAGCUACUGGUACAUACCCUCAGCCCCGAGGGUGAACUACUCCCUCCUCGUCAUGGAGAGCGCCGGGAUGAUGAAGAUGGCCACCGGUGAGGGUUCCCCCCUCCGGCAGGGUGCCGGAACAGGGCCCCGAUUGGUUUUUGGUGGCUAUAGAGGCUUGCGACGGCGGAACUCCCGAUCUAUUCUGCUCCCCGAUGUUUUUAGGGUAUAUGGAUAUAUAUAGGCGAAAGAAGUCAGUCAGGGGAGCCACGAGGGUGGGGGCGCACCUAGGGGGCAGGCGCGCCUCCCUGCCUCGUGGCUACCUCGAAGCUUCCCUGACGUCUACUCCAAGUCUCCUGGAUUGCUUCCGUUCCAAAAAUAACUCUCCCGAAGGUUUCAUUCCGUUUGGACUCCGUUUGAUAUUCCUUUUCUUCGAAACACUGAAAUAGGCAAGAAAACAGCAAUUUGGGCUGGGCCUCCGGUUAAUAGGUUAGUCCCAAAAAUAAUAUAAAAGUGUUUAGUAAAGCCCAUAAACAUCCAAAACAGAUAAUAUAAUAGCACGAAUACUUCAUAAAUUAUAGAUACGUUGGAGACGUAUCAGCAUCCCCAAGCUUAAUUCCUGCUCGUCCUCGAGUAGGUAAAUGAUAAAAGAAAGAAUUUAUGAAGUGUGAAUGCUCGCAGGUGCACAAGUUUGAUCAGUGAUAAUUUCAAUCACCUUUUCUAGCAUCAUCAUAUGCCAUAACAGUAGCUCAUCUCAUAAAACUUUUCAUGAUCAAGUAACAAACUAUUCACAUGUUAAAGUAUAGAUCAUAAACUUUCUUGAAAACUAACAAACCGUGUUAUUAGUCAUCAAACAAUUACAAUUCAUCUUAUUUUCCGGAAGAGUCUAUGUCAGAGCUUUGAUUCAGCAAACUUCACAUACUCAACUAUCAUUUAGUCUUUCACAAUUGCUAACACUCACGCGAUAUUUAUGGGUUCAAAGUUUUAAUCAGACACAGAGAAAGAUAGGGGCUUAUAGAUUCGCCUCCCAACCUUUUACCUCAAGGGUAAUGUCAACAAUAAUAGUUCAUGAUGCCUUACAUCCAAUUGGAUAUAUAUAUCAGGAUCUUUCCAACACAAUGUGCUUGCCAAAGGAUAAAAUGUAAAAAGGAAAGGCGAAGAUCACCAUGAAUCUUGCAUAAGGUAAAAGACAAGAAUAAAAGAUAGGCCCUUCGCAAAGGGAAGCAGAGGUUGUCAUGCGCUUUUAUAGUUAGAUGCACAAAAUCUUAAUGCGAAAGAACGUCACUUUAUAUUGCCACUUGUGAUAGGGACCUUUAUUAUGCAGUCCGUCGAUUUUAUUGCUUCCAUAUCACAAGAUCGUAUAAAGCUUAUUUUCUCCACUUGCAGAGCAAUUUUUAUUGCAUGCACCGAUGAUAACUUACUUGAAGGAUCUUACUCAAUCCAUAGGUAGGUAUGAUGGACUCUCAUGGCAAUACUGGUUUAAGGGAUGUUUGGCAGCACAAGUAGCAUCUCUACUUGGUGCAAAGAAUUUGGCUAGCAUGAGGGGGAAAGGCAAGCUCAGCAUGUUGAAUGAUCCAUGACAAUAUACUUUAUUUCGGAUAUAAGAAAACAUAACCCAUUACGUUGUCUUCCUUGUCCAACAUCAACCUUUUAGCAUGUCAUAUUUUAAUGAGUGCUCACAAUCAUAAAAGAUGUCCAAGAUAGUAUAUUUAUAUGUGAAAUCUCUCUUCCCUCAGUAUUCUUUCAUGAAUUGUUCAAGUGACCAAUACAAUGUUUGCUAACCUUCAAUAAAUUUACCACCUCUACUUCUUAUAUGUGAAGUCAUUACUCCCCAUGGGAUAAGCAUAUGAAACAUAUAUAAUUUCAGAUUUAUGAUAUUCGCUCAUUCAACUAUUUACUCAUAGGAUAUAAGUGAAGCACACGAGUAAAUGACAAACUACUCCAAAAAGAUAUAAGUGAAGAUCAAUGAGUAGUUAAAUAAUUAUGUAACUAUGUGAAGAUUCUCUCUCAUUUAAGAAUUUCAUAUCUUGAUAUUUUAUUCAAACAGCAAGCAAAACAAAAUAAAAUGAUAUUCUAAGAAUAGCAAACAUCACGUGAAGAAGCAAAAACUUAGGAUCAACCGAUACUAACCGAUAGUUGUCGAAGAAGAAAGGUGGGAUGCCAACCGGGGCAUCCCCAAGCUUAGACGCUUGAGACUUCUUGAAAUAUUAUCUUGGGAUGCCUUGGGCAUCUCCAAGCUUGAGAUUUUGUGUCUCCUUAAUUCCCCUCAUAUCACGGUCUCCCUAAAUCUCAAAAGCUUCAUCCACACAAAACUCAACAAGGACUCGUGAGAUAAGUUAGUAUAAACCAAUGCAAAAAAAAACUUAUCAUACUCUUCUGUAGCAAAUCACUAAAAUUAUUAUUUAACAUUGCAUACUAAAUGCCUGUGCAUAUUUAAUAGUCCUAUAAUCAAAUAGAAUCAUUAAAGAAGCAAACAUAUGCAAACAAUGCAAACAUAACAGCAAUCUGCCUAAACAGGACAGUCUGUAAAGAAUGCAGCAGGAUCCAUACUUCCCUAGCUCCAAAAAUUAUGAAAGAAAAUUCCCACUAUAGUAUAUUUAUCAGAGCUUAUUAUGCAAAAGGUUUCAACAUUUUAUCUCAUUCUGACUUUUCUAGGGAAUUUUUGCAACAGCGGUAAACUUUCUGUUUUCAAACAGCAACAUGUAGACUUGUAAAGUAGGCAUAGUAAAGGCUACCAAUGCCACUUUUAUUGAAAUAAAAGAUGAAAAACAUUGUUAUAAAUAACAGCAAGCAAAUACUAGCAAAAUAAAUUGACUCUCCAAGCAAAACACAUAUCAUGUGGUGAAUAAAAAUAUAGCUCCCAGUAAAGUUACCGAUGAACGAAGAUGAAAGAGGGGAUGCCUUCCGGGGCAUCCCGAAGCUUAGGCUCUUGGUUGUCCUUGAAUAUUACCUUGGGGUGCCUUGGGCAUCCCCAAGCUUAGGCUCUUUCCACUACUCAUUCCAUAGUCCAUCGAAUCCUUUACCCAAAACUUGAAAACUUCACAACAGAAAACUCAACAGAAAACUCGUAAGAUCCGUUAGUAUAAGAAAAUAAAUCACCACUUUUGGUACUGUUGUGAACUCAUUCUAAAUUCAUAUUGGUGUAAUAUAUAAUGUAUUCCAACUUCUCUAUGGUUCAUACCCUCCGAUACUACUCAUAGAUUCAUCAAAAUAAGCAAACAACACAUAGAAAACAGAAUCUGUCAAAAACAGAACAGUCUGUAGUAAUCUGUAUCAAACGUAUACUUCUGGAACUCCAAAAAUUCUGAAAUAAAUUGGUGGACCUGCGGAAAUUGUCUAUUAAUCAUCUGGAAAAAGAAUCAACCUAAAAUCACUCUCCAGUAAAAGAAAGGCAGCACGUCUCGUGAGUGCUAAAGUUUCUGUUUUUUACAGCAAGAUCAUAAAGACUUCACCCAGGUCUUCCCAAAGGUUCUACUUGGCAAAAACACUAAUUAAAACAUAAAACCACAUCUAACCAGAGGCUAGAUGAAUCAUUUAUUAAUAAACAGGAGAAAAAAAGCAAGGAACAAAAAUAAGAUUGGGUUGCCUCCCAACAAGCGCUAACGUUUAACGCCCCUAGCUAGGCAUGAUGAUUUCAAUGAUGCUCACAUAAAAGAUAAGAAUUGAAACAUAAAGAGAGCAUCAUGAAGAAUAUGACUAGCACAUUUAAGUCUAACCCACUUCCUGUGCAUAGGGAUUUUGUGAGCAAACAACUUAUGGGAACAAAAAACAACUAGCAUAGGAAGGCAAAACAAGCAUAACUUCAAGAUUUUAAGCACAUAGAGAGGAAACUUGAUAUUAUUGCAAUUCCUACAAGCAUAUAUUCCUCCCUCAUAAUAAUUUUGAGUAGCAUCAUGAAUAAAUUCAACAAUGUAACUAUCACAUAAAGCACUAUUUUCAUGAUGCACAAGCAUAGAAUUUUUAUUACUCUCCACAUAAGCAAAAUUCUUCUCAUUCGGAAUAGUAGUGGGAGCAAACUCAACAAAGUAAUUAUCAUGUGAGGCAUAAUCCAAUUGAAAACUAAAAUCAUGAUGACAAGUUUCAUGGUUAUCAUUAUUCUUAAUAGCAUACAAGUCAUCACAAUAAUCAUCAUAGAUAGCAACUUUGUUCUCAUAACCAAUUGGAACCUCUUCCGAAAUAGUGGACUCAUCACUAAAUAAAGUCAUGACCUCUCCAAAUCCACUUUCAUAAUUAUCACAAUAAGAUUCAACACCCUAAAAAAAAGCGGGGUCAUUACUUCCUAAAGUUGACACUCUUCCAAACCCACUUUCAUCAAUAUAAUCAUCAUAAAUAGGAGGCAUGCUAUCAUCAUAAUAAAUUUGCUCAUCAAAACUUGGGGGACAAAAAAUAUCAUCUUCAUCAAACAUAGCUUCCCCAAGCUUGUGGCUUUGCAUAUCAUUAGCAUCAUGGAUAUUCAAGGAAUUCAUAGUAACAACAUUGCAAUCAUGCUCAUCAUUCAAAUAUUGAGUGCCAAAUAUUCUACUCCCUCCGUUCCUAUAUAUAGGGUGUAUACUUUUUGGCACGGAAAUUAAAGAACGCACGUGGAGGAAAAAUUUCACAAGUUUUGGGCGAGAUUAUACCUGACUAAUUGACAUGAGAAAAUAGAGGAGCUUGCCUAAUAUAAGGAAAUGUAAUCAAAUCCCAAAAAAAAUAUCCAAACGAGUGGCGCAACGCAGUACACCUUAUAUUUUGGAUCUUUUCUCAAAAAUCUAUACACCUUAUAUCAAGGAACGGAGGGAGUAAUGCAUUCUUCCUCUAGCAAUUGAGCACAAUUAUCGGAAUCCUUAUUUUCAAGGAAGACAUUAAAAAGAUGAAGCAUAUGAGGCACCCUCAAUUCCAUUUUUUUUGUAGUUUUCUUUUAUAAAUUAAACUAGUGAUAAAACAAGAAACUAAAAGAUUCGAUUGCAAGAUCUAAAGAUAUACCUUCAAGCACUAACCUCCCCGGCAACGGCGCCAGAAACUUCUUGAUGUCUACUAUGCAACAUUCUUCUUGUAGACGUUGUUGGGCCUCCAAGUGCAGAGGUUUGUAGGAUAGUAGCAAAUUUCCCUCAAGUGGAUGACCUAAGGUUUAUCAAUCCGUGGGAGGCGUAGGAUGAAGAUGGUCUCUCUCAAGCAACCCUGCAACCAAAUAGUAAAGAGUCUCUUGUGUCCCCAACACACCCAAUACAAUGGUAAAUUGUAUAGGUGCACUAGUUCGGCGAAGAGAUGGUGAUACAAGUGCAAUAUGGAAGGUAGAUAUAGGUUUUUGUAAUCUGAAAAUAUAAAAACCGCAAGGUAGCAAGCGGUAAAAGUGAGCGUAAACGGUAUUGCAAUGCGUUGAAACAAGGCCUAGGGUUCAUACUUUCACUAGUGCAAGUUCUCUCAACAAUAAUAACAUAAUUGGAUCAUAUAACUAUCCAUCAACAUGCAACAAAGAGUCACUCCAAAGUCACUAUUAGCGGAGAACAAACGAAGGGAUUAUUGUAGGGUACGAAACCACCUCAAAGUUAUUCUUUUGGAUCGAUCUAUUCAAGAGUUCGUACUAGAAUAACACCUUAAGACACAUAUCAACCAAAACCCUAAUGUCACCUAGAUACUCCAAUGUCACCUCAAGUAUCCGUGGGUAUGAUCAUACGGUAUGCAUCACACAAUCUCAGAUUCAUCUAUUCAACCAACACAAAGUACUUCAAAGAGUGCCCCAAAGUUUCUACCGGAGACUCAAGACGAAAACGUGUGCCAACCCCUAUGCAUAAGUUCACAAUGUUACGAAACCCGCAAGUUGAUCACCAAAACAUACAUCAAGUAGAUCACGUGAUAUCCCAUUGUCACCACAGAUAAGCACAUGCAAGACAUACAUCAAGUGUUCUCAAAUCCUUAAAGACUCAAUCCGAUAAGAUAACUUCAAAGGAAAAACUCAAUCCAUUACAAGAGAGUAGAGGGGGAGAAACAUCAUAAGAUCCAACUAUAAUAGCAAAGCUCGCGAUACAUCAAGAUCGUACCAUCUCAAGAACACGAGAGAGAGAGAGAUCAAACACAUAGCUACUGGUACAUACCCUCAGCCCCGAGGGUGAACUACUCCCUCCUCGUCAUGGAGAGCGCCGGGAUGAUGAAGAUGGCCACCGGUGAGGGUUCCCCCCUCCGGCAGGGUGCCGGAACAGGGCCCCGAUUGGUUUUUGGUGGCUAUAGAGGCUUGCGACGGCGGAACUCCCGAUCUAUUCUGCUCCCCGAUGUUUUUAGGGUAUAUGGAUAUAUAUAGGCGAAAGAAGUCAGUCAGGGGAGCCACGAGGGGCCCACGAGGGUGGGGGCGCGCCCAGGGGGGCACGCGCGCCUCCCUGCCUCGUGGCCACCUCGAAGCUUCCCUGACGUCUACUCCAAGUCUCCUGGAUUGCUUCCGUUCCAAAAAUAACUCUCCCGAAGGUUUCAUUCCAUUUGGACUCCGUUUGAUAUUCCUUUUCUUCGAAACACUGAAAUAGGCAAGAAAACAACAAUUUGGGAUGGGCCUCCCGUUAAUAGGUUAGUCCCAAAAAUAAUGUAAAAGUGUUUAGUAAAGCAUAAACAUCCAAAACAGAUAAUAUAAUAGCAUGAAUACUUCAUAAAUUAUAGAUACGUUGGAGACGUAUCACAACACAGCCAGCAAGCCGACGUACAUCUUGACUCGCCUUGGCACCUCAAUCUGCUCAAUUGCUUUGACCUUGUCGGGAUUCACUUCGAUCCCACGUUGUGACACAAAGAACCCGAGAAACUUGCCGAACGGAACGCCGAAGACACACUUCUAAGUCUUGUAUAAGCGUUGCCCUGUCCUUGGUUUUGACCACUAUGUCAUCCAUAUAGGCUUCCAUAUUUCUAUGUAGCUGAGGCUCAAAACCAAUUUGGACUGCUCUUGCAAAUGUUGAACCAGUGCUCUUCAACCCGAAAGGCAUUCGUAUAAAACAAUACGUACCACAUGGGGUGAUGAACGCGGUCUUUUCUUCAUCUUCUCUUGUCAUGAAGAUCUGGUGGUAUCCUGAGUAAGCUUCAAGGAAUGACAGCAAGUCACACCCGGCCGUGGAGUCCACAAUCUGGUCAAUGCGUGGCAAAGGGAAAGGAUCCUUUGGACAAGCUUUAUUGAUGUUUGUGUAAUCAAUACACAGCCUCCACUUUCCAUUUGCCUUGCGCACUACCAUCGGAUUGGCCAAUCACGUUGGGUGGAGUACUCCUCUGACCAAGCCCGCCACUUCUAACUUCCUGAUAUCCUCUGUGAUAAACUCUUGUCGUUCCAAAGCUUGCUUCCUGACCUUCUGCUUGAUGGGUCGCGCUUGAGGACAGACAGCGAGAUGGUGCUCAAUCACCUCCCUGGGAACGUCGGGGAUGUCGGAUGCUUGCCAUGCAAACACAUCGACAUUCGCCCGCAGGAAGGUGACGAGCGCGCCUUCCUAUUUGCUGUCGAGGGUGGAGCUUAUGGUAAAAGCUCCUCCCGUGCCAUCCUCCUUGACAGGCACCUUCUUGCUCUUUGGUGGGGCAGCUCUGGAUUUCUUGCUCUUGCCGGUGGAGCUCUCUGGCACGUCCUCGACGGUAGCACAGCACUCCGAAGAGGUGCGCUUGCCGGAGUGGGUGCGAGAGGUCUUGCCGGUCUUCUUCCCUCCCGGGGCUUCAGCGGCAGGAGCAAGCGCCUUGGCGGCAGUUGCUGCAACUACCUCUCGGUAGAGUUGGUCGGCGCAGAUGAGCGCAUCUUUCUUGUCGGAGGGGACGGUGAUGAUGCUCAUCGGCCUAGGCAUCUUCAACGUGUUGUAGGCGUAGUGUGAUGCCGCCAUAAACUUGGCUAGUGCUGGGCGGCCGAGGAUCCCAUUGUAGGGCAAAGGGAUCUCUGCAACAUCAAAAACAAUCCUCUCUGUUCUAUAGUUCAGCUCACCCCCAAAUGUAACGGGCAUCGUAACCUUACCUUUCGGCUGACUCCUUCCCGGAUUGACCCCUUGAAACGUGCCCGUCUCUUUGAGGUCUCCAUCAGGAAUCUGCAGCCUUUCGAUCACAACAGGCGAGAUCAAGUUCAGACCGGCCCCGCCGUCAACUAGCACUUUUGUCACCUUGAGGUUGCGUAUUGUUAGUGAAACCAACAACGGCAAACACCCGACCGCAGUUGUGCGAUCAGGGUGAUCCUCGAUGUCAAAAAUGAUAGGCGUGUUGGACCACUUCAGUGGCAUUUGAGCAUCGAACGAUGGUUCCGCCGCCGUGAUCUCACGCGCCCACUGCUUGAGUCGGCGAUGAGAGGUGUGCAGCGAGGUGCCACCGUCGACGCACAGGGCCUCCGUAGCUUUCUGGAACUCAUGCUCGCCGGACUCGUCGUCCUCGUCAUGAUCGUCGUCUUCUUGCUUCUUGUCGCGGCCCCGCGCGGGCCUAUCUUGUUGAUUAUCUUUGCCGCGGCGGCCAGCUUGGCCGCCACGCUUCUUGCCGGAUCCCUGAGCGCCAUCCUGGCCCUUCUCCUUGUCCCGCCUCUUGUAUUCGAUUUUCUGCUUCUCUGCGAGCUGCUCAACUUGUCGGCAGUUCUGAAGGUCACGGCCCUUGGUGCGAUGGAUCUUGCAGUACUUCUUGUCGGGGCUUCCCGGUUUGUCGGCGGCCGCCAAGGCCCGGCUGGCGGCGCACCCGGCAACCUCCUUGCCGGGGUCGUCUGCCUUGGCCUUCCUGGCAGUGCCGGCGUCGUCGGAUCCCUUGACGACAAGCACGGUCUUGCCCUUACGCUUCCUAUUGCGGCAUCCGCCCUUCUUUGUCGGGGUGAUGGCGUAUUCGUCUGUAGAGCCGGUUUCUGCUCCGGCGUCUUCGCCGGGGUACUUCCUCCCCUCUUCAGCCCGAGCACAUCUAUCGGCCAGAACAUAAAGUUCGGCCACAUCCCUGACCUUGUUCAUCGCUAGCUCUUCACGCAUCUUGUGGUUGCGCACAUUCUGAUGGAACGCGCUGAAGACAGCGGUAGGAUGAACAUGUGGGAUGUUGUACUGCACCCGGCUGAACCUCUAUAUGUACUUGCACAGGUUUUCGCCUUCCUUCUGGGGGAUGACAUGCAAAUCGCUUGCCUGGCCAUGAGCUUGGUGGCCUCCAGUAAAAGCGCCGAAAAACUCAUGGCACAAAUCCGACCAGGAAGAAAUGGAGUCCGCUGGCAAGUGCAUCAACCAUGACAUGACGUUGGGUUUGAGUGCCAACGGGAAGUAAUUGGCAAGCACCUUGCCGUCGCGAGCUCCAGCAUCUUGCAUCGCGAUGGUGUAGAUGCUGAGGAACUCUGACGGGUGAGUCUUGCCGUUGUACUUCUCGCCGACAUCAGGCUUGAACAUGCGGUGAGUGGGCCACUGGAACUGCCGCAACUCACGGGUAAAGGCUGGGCAACCCACCUCGUAAGGUAGGCCACCAGAGCCUCCCGGUGCCUGGUGGUCUAUAGUGGGCCCUGCCCGCCUAUCUGACUGAUGGCGUGCUUCACGCCGCCGCUCAAUGGUGGUUCGAGCGUCUUCAUGGGCUCGCUCCCGAAGAACUUGACGUUGAUCGCGGUGGGUCCGUCGGUCGGACGACGCUAUAGAAAUGUUAUCUCAAGCAUCGUCCUGACGGAGCGGCGCCGCGGUAGCUGGCGCGGAGGAGGGGAGUGCACCGUGGCCGCAACACCUCCGGUCCUUCCACCACUCGCAUGCGGUGGUUCGACAGUGUCGGCCUGAGGGCCCCGCAGGUCGCAGCUCGUCCUUGUUGGCGAUGCUGACGAGGCUCCGGAUGGUGGCUCUCCACUCGUCGAGCUUUUCCGCAGCAGGAGGGAAGUCGAGGAGAAACUAUGCGCGCGCCAAAGCUUCUACUGGCAUGGGUGGCGGCGAAAGUUGCGUGUACCGUGACGCGCUACGACUUCUAACCACGUUAGAAGGAGCUCUAUCAUGGCCUUGCAGCUGGGCGCCAUUUUCGCCAGCGUCUCGGCGUGCAUGCUUGUCUGGUGUGUCCCGCGAAUGAUGCAUAGGACUCUUCCCGCGGCGGUGCUCGGGGUCGCUAACGUGGUGGCGCUACUCGUCGCGCACGACCUGGGAAGAGCGCGUUGCGGGCGCCGGCGUAGGCGUCUUGGAAGUCGCGGCGCCACCAGCAGGCUGCAUGACUCUGCCCUUGGAGGGCCCCGCGCCGCCUGCGGGGGCAUGGCUCCAUCUUUGGAUUUAGCGGCGUGCGGCCCGUCGUCCCGCGCACGAACGAUGCCGCUCGCCAGGCUUUGGCUGCCAGAGCGAUGUGGGUGUUCGCGGGCCGCGCCUCGGCCCCUGUCCGCGACCGCCCCGUCUUCCGCCCGCACAGGUACGGGCCGUUCGGCUCCAGAUGAACCGAUUGCCGUGAUCGUUUUCUUCUUAGGAACCAUGGCGAUGAAGAACUGCUAUACUAACUGCUAGGCCGGAUUUUCACAACUGCGUCUCCCCUACCUGGCGCGCCAAAGAUGUCAGCGGAAACGACACCUAUGGGAUCACGAGGAUCCCUUCUGCGGUUGGCGGGCGCGGGGUUGUGCAAAGAGCGGGUCUAGUAGUUAGCACAAGGAGAUUUUACCAUGGUUCGGGCUGCGUAGAUGCGUAAUACCCUAGUCCUGCUUUAGUAUAUAUUUGAGUGUUCUUGAGUUCUUGAACUAGCUACGGUGCGUGCGUGGUCCAAAAAGUCUGAAUCCUCUCUCAGUACGCCGCGGGCCUCCUUUUAUAGUAAAAAAGGGGUUGCCACAGUGUCACACAGGAGGUGGAAAGUUGUACAGUGCACAAGCUUAUCGCCUGGCAUCACAGGACAAAACGCAUUAAAUGCGCUACUUAGGUGUCCUCUUGCUUUAUCGGGGACGGUAACGAAGCCCGUCCCGUCCGUCGCCGCAUCGCCUUGCUUCGAUAUGCGUCCAGGCCAACGGGGCAUGCAGCGCCAUGUGGGCUGGCAGGCUGCUGAGCUGGCGCUGUGGCAGGGUCUUCACGAAGAUUUGCAUGCCACCACGCAGGUGCUUGUCUAGUUGGCUUAGGAGUCACGUACUGCCACGUGGGUACUUGUUUAGUUGGUGGGUCGACCGCUGAGCUAGGGCGGCGACGGGGCGGCAAGGCCUUGCCGCGGUCGUGCUGAUAUUCCCGGCAAGGGUCUUGCCGGGGCCUUGUGAGCGCCCUCGGCAAGGGUCUUGCCGGGGCCUCGUUGGUGCCUUGGGCAGGAGCCUUGCCGGGGCCUCGUGGGCAUCCUCGGCAAGGAGCCUUGCUGUAGUCUUGCCUUCUGGUUCUCAUCUAGGCCUUGCAGGCUCUUUGUCUUCAUAAAGAUCUGCAUGCCACCAUGCAGGCGGCUAUCGAGUCUUGGUUCCAAUGUUUGUCGAUGGUGUCGGAACUCUCAGGCUCAAGGGUGGGGGCCUCACCGGAGUUGGGCAAGUUGCCCCCGGCAAGGCUCUUGCCGGGGCUGCGUGGCCGCCCCGGCAAGGAUCUUGCCGGGGGGAAGCCCAUCUUGUUGCCUCGUUGUCCGCGCCCCUGGUUGGAGCACUGCUCUGGUAGUCUUGUACUUUUGCCUCCUUUGCCGUGCCAAGCGUGGCUGUCGGCUCGUGGCUGCGACUGCCCGUACACAAGUAAAGGGGUACCAAAAGGACCCCUACUUUUGUAAACCGACACAAUGCCUUUCCAUUUUCUACGGAACGACCAUCUAUUUUGAUUUUGACGCAGGUCCAUGGAUGCAAAAGAAAAAAUGACUUUCUAACAAGAAGUACGAAUACACACAAUUCCCUCUCAAGCAAUUAAGGAGAUCCAUAAUGUCAUAAUGGUUACUAUUCCCAUAAACAAUUCUGCUCCCCAAAUCUCUGUUGAGAUAUUUGCUAGGCACGUACAUUAUAAAACUCUUAUCAAGAUACUUGAAGAUACUAAUAAAGUAAACACAUAACACCACAAUGCAUCUAAGUGGCACACAAAUUAAUUUAUAUAUGAACGUUAUUUUUCAUUUUCUCAAAUCUAGAUGGAAUUUAAAUUACUUAAAUAUCCUAAACAUAUAUUAAAAAUAACAUAAGGUUGUUACAAUUAUAGUAAUUUUAGUGGAAAAAGUUGAAAUGUAAAAUAGUUAUUUUAAGUUACUAGUUGUGAUUUAUGUUGUUAGGUAUAAUACGAAAAAUAGUUGAAUUUGUGUAUUAACAUUGUAUCAAUUAAAAAACUAUUUAUGUAUAAUGAAUAUUAUAUGUAAAUAAGUAAAAAUAUUUAAUAUAAAUGGAUAUCAACCAUAGUUGUAAAUUUCCUAACUAGUUAAACAAUGAGAAUCUAACAUUAUCAUAUACAUUUUUAUUGUGUUUUUAUAUGUAUUUCUUAUGAGCUCUAGUUAUGGCAUCGAUGUUGUUUCCCAUAUAUGUUUCUUUUUUUCUUAGUUUCUUCUUUUAUGCAUUUUCCAAAGGGUCACCAGUUCAAAUAAUCAUAAAUUAGAAGGUUGCUAAUGACAAAAAAUAAAGUCUUAUGUGUACAUGAAAUAAUAUUUGGUAAAUACAAAAGUUUCAUAACAAACUCGUCAAAAGAGAAUUUUUUUUAUUAUUGGACUUUCAAAACAAAAUAUUACUUAUAUAAAAAUAGAAAAUACAUAGUAUGUUAUAAUUAUUUUCAAUCACAAAAAGAAUUCGAAUGAUUAUCAAAAUUGUUCGCGUAGAAGAUGCAUGUUGUUUGUUCAUAUAUUUCACCAAAUUUUUUUAUAGUUCACAAAACAUGAUAAUGUUGCUCACAAGGCUUUUCACGAUUUUUAUCUUAGGAAAUACUUGUUUUGAUUGAUCGAAAAUAUGUUCAUGGAUCUUAGAAAGUUGUUUUAUAAUUCACAGAAAAAUUUCUUUUAUUCAUAAAAUAAAUAACACAAUGAUCAGUUCCUACGGUACAUACAUUUAAGAAAUAAUGAACAUUUAUGUGGAUAUUUUCAAGAGAAAAAACAAUGAUUUGUUGUAUUGAACUGUUGUUUUGUUGUAGAGAAUAAAUUCAUAACACGUAGUGAAAUGAUUUAUAUUAACUAAAACAUUAAAUAAAACAAACUACGAGGAGGUGCUGCCCUAGGCGUCCUCGUCGUGUUGGGGCCGGUGAGCGUCGGCGCCGGGCCAGCCCAAGGAAACGUCGUCGACCAGGCUCUAGCAACGUCGUCCGCCGUGGUACCGCCGCCAACUGGGCUGGCCCACCGCAGGCAAGGCGCUCCUUCUCCGCGUCGCGUUCCAGCUGCUCGAAGUGCUCGCCCUCACGACGCUCCUCAGCCAGCCUUUGCUGCUGCCAUUGGUCGAGGUAGGCCUGCUCCUAUGCCGGCGUCGCCCCCAACCGGACCGGUGGCGCGCUAACCCACUCGUGCACCACUGCAGUCCAUGAGUAGCGCUUGAUGGGGUCGGUGCCGGCUCGGCCUUGACGGGGACAACGCCCUCAACGGCGGCACGACGCAGUCUCCCGUCGCGGAGAGCGCCAUGGCCUUCGUCAUGCACGCCUGGUACGCCUCAGCCUCCUCCUACUCCUUGCGCCGCUCCUCCUCGCUUUCGCGGAGGACUGCCGCCAGCGCCGCCUGGUAGGCGGCCUCCGCCUCCUGCUCCUCGUCGCGCACAACAAGGGGCGGCAGCGGGAUAUGCCGCACGUUGUGGACGCCGCGCUCCUGGCCUCCUCAUGCUCGAAUGCGAACCACUGCUCCCAAGGGGGAGAGUCGAGUGCGUAGGCAGGAUCGCGAUGCUGCUCCAGCGUCAGCAACUGCCGCCGGCGCCGCACCUCCUCCGUGUGCGCCCGCGCCGACCGCGGCGCUGCCGGCACUGGGAUCCUCUCCAGAUCCAAGUGCCAGUCGUGUGGCAGCGUCAUGUCGGGAUAUGGGAGGGGGACGCGGUGCUCCCAGUGCCACUUUGCCUGGUGCACUGGGACGUUGACGCGCUGCCGAGGUCGGUGGGAAGACGCCGGCGGAGGCGGGGGGAGGCGGGGGAGAGGGGCGGCGGAGGCCUUGCCCUUGUCCAUGUCGGAGAUGAAGCCCAUGGCGGUGGCUAGGAUUUGUCGCCGACGGGGAGCACCGUGGGUGGUGAGAUGGGGAUGGAGGCGUCUGGAAGCGGAUGAGGACGGCCCCCCACCUCAUGCUCGGAUUAAAAAAGGCCGACCGCCGUCGUUGACGCUUGGACCCGCGGUGGGCAGUCGUCAUUAAUAAAGACGGCCACGGUAGUUCGGUGGCCGCCAGGUGGGGACAUGGCGGACACCGAAAGGACGCGUGGCGUAUCCGCUUCGCGUCCACGCCGACGCAUUUCAGCCGUAAUUUUUGGCCGCAAAUGGGUCUGCGUGAACACGAAGCGGACGCAUUUUAAAAAUGAGUCGGCGUGUUGGGCCAGCACUUUUGUCCGCGGCGGCCCAAACGUACGGUGAUGGACGAAAUGGAUGUGCUGGAGUUGCUCUUACACACUGAGGAAAAAAAGCUAUAUAUAAAAGGAAAAUGAAGUAUCUCAUAUCUGCGGGAUUGGUCUGGUCCCAUCCCAGUGGACAAAACCAGCCGCUCUGCCGCAGAAAAAACAAGACGGGGCGAGGUGGGCAGCCACCUGCAACGGCCGGGCGUCGACAGCGAGAGGAGCGGCGCAAGCAAGCAAAUGUGUAUCCGGAAGCACCCGGUUUCCUGGAAUACCAGCACCGGCAGCCGCUUGUUUUGCUUCGGCUCUCCCGUAUAUAACCCCGUCCCACUCCAACUCUUCCUACCAUCAACACAAACGAGCAUCAGCUCACUGAGACAGUACAAGAAAAUCAAACUAGCUCUGUUCAACUUCGCAAGUCCACUAGGAUCACAAGUCAGUUUUCACUCCCAGCAGCGCGGCAAGAACAAGAAGUAUAGGAGAAGCCAUGGCUGGUCCGGCGAAGGCAUCGUGGAUGGUGGCCAUGAGCGUGGGCGCGGUGGAAGCGCUCAAGGACCAGGCCGGGCUUUGCCGCUGGAACUAUGCCCUCAGGUCCAUCCACCGGGCAGCCAAGGCCAACGUCCGCGGCGGCGUCUCGCAGGGCAGCAAGCAGCUUCCGGCCUCCGCGUCGGCGGUGGCGGAGAGGCGGCGAGCGGAGAAGGCCGAGGAGGGGCUAAGAACGGUGAUGUACCUCAGCUGCUGGGGCCCAAAUUAGGAGUACUAGUUGGUUAGGGGUGUUGUGUUCGUUGCAGCUUGUGCUUAUACUUAUGCGACAACCCCAUGACCGUUUGUAAAUACAGCACGAUGAUGAUGAUGAUGAAAAUUUCGGCUAUGAAUUUAUAUUACCCUCCUUGUGCAUGUUCUUCCAUGACUAUUUUUUGAAAGGCCAAAAGUUGACGUUUGUGAAGAGAGGAACUCUACAAAACGAGGCAUACAGAAUACAGAGGAAAUUCAGCUUCCUGUACCGAACAGCCAAACUCUGAAUAAAGGCCGGGUAGAACAGGGGUGGUUGAUCU
This 65965-nucleotide long non-coding RNA is filed under the name Triticum aestivum (bread wheat). RNAcentral describes it as "long non-coding RNA (TAES_LNC024809)". The record is from RNAcentral. Lineage: Eukaryota; Viridiplantae; Streptophyta; Magnoliopsida; Poales; Poaceae.